CCAAUCUGUAUUUAUUAGCACCUCAACAUCAUAUAAAUCUUUUGUGCCACUAAGCUCAUCUUCUUUACAGCCUUGUAUGAAAUCCGGCUUGCAUCCCCGAUAUGGAUCAUUUGGAUCAAGUAAAGAGAACCCUGUUGGGCAUCCACAGGUUGGCCUCUUAUCUCCUUUGAGAGUGCAGAUACUGUUGUACCCACAAACACCUACACCUGAACUUUCGGUAAUUCUUUGGCAAAUAUUAUCUGGCUCUGACCACAGAAUAGUCCAGCUUACAUUUCCAGUGAAAUUCUUGGGGUGAUAAUAUUGAGCAAAAAUCCCAUCAAAGUUGAGAGUUGCUCUAAUAUAGUUGUCCCUUGCUGAGACUACCUCUCCCACUGCAAGAUUGUACUUUCCACCAUUCUCUCUCACAACAUACAAGUAGCCUGAGACAUUGAAAACCAAUUCUUUACCUUCACUACCUGCCACGGUCCCUGAGGUAGUGUCGGUUGCAUAGUAAGGUUCAUUGGCAAAGUUUGUUGGCAAGUUUAUGGUGCUGAGCACAAGGUUCCCAUCUUCUUGCAGAAGCAGCUGGAACCGUCCUUUCGAAUAGUUAGUCUCCGAUUGUCGAGACGAAAGCUUCCCACUUCUUUCCAAUGUCUGUCCAGGCAACAUGGUAUCAGUGGGAUUGUUGAAGGUCUCCCAUAAGCUUUCUGAAUUUCUAUCUUGAAGAACGAAGUUGCCUGUGUCAUUCAUGACCCCAUUGGCAACAACACCAACACUGGUUUCAGAUUUCCAUAGCUCUUCACCCUGAGGACUUCUAAGCACUAGACCGCUGUUGGCAGUCAAGUUCACAGUUGACCCCUUGGGUGCAACUGCAGCCUCAUUAUCCCGAUUUGCAUUCCAAACUAUGGUUCUGUCUGGUAUUUUGGCAUACCAUAUUGAGAGCAGGAAAAGAUCAUUGCUUCCAAGCGGAAAAAAUCCAAAGGCAAAAUCACCAGAUGGAGAAAGCCAUGGUGAGGAGUUAGCUGCAGUUGCAGUUAGGAAAUCCCCCACUGCUAUGCCACCAUUGGUUUGAGCAAACACAGAAACUGGUAGCAGAAACAGUGAGGAAAACAGAAGCAGCCGUACAGUAAAAGCCAUUGCUAAUUUUCUAGCACCAAUGUGGUUCGGCAUACUACAAUAUCUUAGCUAGCUAUAUUUCAUAAUGAAGAAUGGGACCAUGAUGGCCCUUGCUUCCUCGAAAUUUCUUGCUAUAAAUGCGGGUACCACAUCUUAAUGAAGCAUGAAGCGUGCUCAUUUCUGUGAGAUGGCGAGGUGACGCAAAGACAAAAAUUUUAGAAUUUUUUAUGAUGAACUGGGACCUACAAAUUUGAAAAUGUUAUGAAAUAGCUAUAGAUGAAAUCAUCAGUCUAAAAUGGCUGCGACCAUUUAGAAAUUUUUAAGAAUGCAGGACUUUUUAUUUGCAUUAUGGGGUGAACAAGAAGGACUAAUUUAUUUGUAUUGACUGGAAAAUUUUAUUUCAUUCUGUGGAACCAUGAAAGAAAAUGUUCUAAUUGGCUCAAAUUUAGGAAGAAUUACUAGUUACUUUGGUUAAGUGACCCCUGGAAUUGUCAAUAGGCACAUAGUGUGUUAGGUGAUCAAAUGUAACUUAGUCAUUCGCCUGUGAGAUGUCUAAAGUCAGGUUCUAAGUGGGCAAUCAAUGAUGGCUGGGGUAUCUUUGUAAAAGGCAAAGGAACCAAGUGAAGUGGAACAUCAAGUAGGAAGCAACUUACGGCUGAUUGGAGACCGGGCUGGCUGUUUUUUUUUUUUUUUUUGGAUUUAAAAAACAGCACCUUCAAUUUGCUAUUACAAUGUAUUAGGAAUUAAUGCAUGCUAGUGCUGGUAGGCAUAAGAGAUAAUGUCUGCCGACAUUAUAUUUGGUGCGUUAGUGAUUGAAUAAUGCUUUGCAUUCUUCUUUCUCUUCUUUGGCUAUUUAAUCAGGCAAGUAGUGCAUGAGAAGAGUGCUUGUGUAUAGCAAAACCAAAGGAAACCAGAGAGAGAAGAGAGUUGGUUUCAUAUCCACCAUUCAGUGCAAUCCGCUUCUGUCGCGCACAACACUGCACUGCAGUCACCAAGUCAACGAAGUCUAAGGUUGGGCACAUGUUACAGGAUGGGCUAAGUCUAAGUCUAAGUCUAAGGUUCAGAAUCAUGAAUAUGCUGCUACUUUCCAAGUUCCAGUUUCCAUGAUUUACCAGUUGGAGCUUUGUCUUUUUGUUUUUGGAUUGUGGGUGCAAAGUCUUUUUCAAUGUUUUAUAAUGUAGGGUAAUUUUCUUCGACUCCAAUGUUAGGUUUCUUUAUAUGCGUGUUCAUAAUCUUUCACACAAUCUGAAAUACGUAAAGACAUACCUAGAGCCAUCUUUUUUGAGACACCACCUCUGAACUCAUUCAAUUGCAGCAGAAACAAUCCCAACAAGAACAGGAACGGCUCAAGACUUCUGCUCUCUCUUAUAAUCUAUUUCAGCUCUCUCUUAGAUUAGGGUUAGAGAAUGUGUUUGAUGAGAGUAGGGACUUAUAAAGGGUAGGUCAAGUCGUCUCUGCUAAUCACCGAGGGCCGACUUGACUUAUCUUCCAAGCUCACCAAAACAGUUCACGCAAAAAAGGAAAUAAAUAGGACCCAUUUCAAAACCUUUCCUUAUUCCACAAGGUUUUGGGCAUCAAGGAAUAACUUAAUUUAAACUCUUAACAAAACUUGAUAUAACUUAGUAUCUAGUGCACCGAUCUAAAUAGGAAACAUAACAUUCUCCCACUAGAUCAAGCACUAGAGCUUUGAUAAUCUUUACUGUCCAUAAGUUUAAAACAAUUAAGUCAUUCCCUUUAAGCCACAAUGAAAAGUGAUUAGACAAAACGAACUAUAGACAAGCACGACUCUCUUUAUUAAAAAUAGGCCAUCUAUAAUCACAUAAUGCAAUCUCAGAAAACAUGAAGCACCUACCAACGCAAACCUUAAUAUGUACCAAUCCGUAAUGUGAAUCUUUAUGCUUUUCAGUGCAUGUACCUCUUUACGACUUAGCAAGAGUCAAUCCGCAAUGUUAUCAAAACAAUAGUAUCUCAAAAGAGACCAUAAACUCACUUGCAUAAACAAAUUGCAUAAUAACAUCCUUAAAUGCAACUCCCUCAAUCUAGAAAACAGCAAAUAAACAUACUAGUAAAAUAUCAGAAUGGGAACAAGACUCCCACUAGAUUGCAGCAUCAAAGCGAGGAAAUAAUCCCAUGCUCUCAACAUGUCUCAGAAAAGCUUAUGAAGGCAAAACUUUGUGAACAUGUAUGCAAUCAUAUCUUGAGUUUUGGUAUGAUCAAACAUAACUAGGUUGUUCGCUACCUUUCCCUUCACUAUUAAAUAUUUUCUGUCAAUAUGUUGAAGUCUAGACGACAUCUUGUUGUUCAUGCAGUGAAAAGCAGCCGCAAUGUUGUCAUAUAUAUAUCUGUAUUGGUCUAGAAAUCGACUCCACCACCUUAAUGUCUUUAAUAAUAUUUCUUAGCCAUACUGCAUGAGGAGUAGGCUUCAUAGCAAGCUAUGUAUUCUGAAAACAUGGUUGAACUCUAAACACCAGAUUGUUUAGCAUUCUUCCAAGCAAUAACUGCUCCUGCCAUCUUGAAAAGAAAACCUGUAGUAGAGAUGAGAUUCACAUCAACAAAACCAAUAAGCUCUAAAUUCUCCGUGCGUCUGUAAAUCAACAUAUAAGCCUUUGUUCUUUGUAGGUACCUCAAAAUCUUCUUUCUAGCUAUCCAAUGUUGCAUUCCCGGAUUUGGCUGAAAUCUUUCCAUCUUGCUAAUGCACAAGCCUAGGUCUAGCCUUGUACACACUUGUAAGUACAUAUUGCUUCAACUAGAGAAGCUUACGGCUUGUUCCUCAUCUCAUCUUCUUCUUCUUUAUUCUUAGGGCAAUGCUCAUUCUUUAAAUCUCCUUUACCUAACAGAACUUUCUGUCCAAAACACAUACUCAUGUCAAAACGCUUAAGUAUCCUUUCAAUAUAUGUUUUCUGUGACAGGCCUAGGAGACCUCGAGCUCAGUCUCUCUAAAUUUCAAUGCCUAACACAAAAGCAGCUUCUCCCAAAUCCUUCAUCUCAAAAUUGUUUGGAAGUAGCUCUUUACUGUCUUUCAAUAAAUUGUGGUCAUUUGUAGUCAAAAGUAUAUUGUCGACAUACAGCACUAGAAAAAUAAAUUGUUUCCCACAUUUCUUCGGAUAAAUGCAUUGAUCGACUAUUUUCUCUUCAAAAUCAUAAGAUGAAACAGCUUGAUGGAAUUUGAAAUACCACCUCCUGCUUGCUUGCUUCAGUCCAUAAAUUAACUUGUCAAGUUUGCAAACCAUAUGCUUUUUUCCCCCCUUUGCAAACUCUUCAGGUUGCCUCAUAAUAUUUUCUUCUUCAAGUUCAACAUUCAGGAAAGCAGUCCAUUUGAUGUAAAAGUAGGUCAUAAUGCGCCACCAAAGCCACCAUAAUGAUGCGGAAAGAAUCUUUGGUGGAAACUAAAAAAAAAUCUCAGUGUAGUCAAUUCCCUCCCUUUGGGUGAAUCUUUUUACUACCAAUCUAGCCUUAAAUCUUUCGAUUCUUCCAUCCUUAUCCUUCUUUGUUUUAAAUACCUAUUUCAAGCCAACCAAUUUCUGGCUCUUGUGAGGUUCAACUAAUUCUCAUACUUGAUUAUUCUUCAUGUUUUCGAGUUCAUUCAACAUUGUUUCCCUCCAUUUGUCUGCAUCCUGACUCUCUAUAGCUUCUUUACAACUUGUUGUAUCAACCGAUCAUCUCUAAUGUCAAAAUCUGCUUCCUGUAAGUACACAUAAUCCGAAAUUGCUGUGGAUCUUCUUCUUUUUGUUAUUGAUCAACAAGUUCUUCAUACUGAACAACCAGCCUCAACAAUUCUAAUAUUAUAAUUUGGACAAUAAAAUCUAGAACCCUUUGACCUUGUAGGAUAACCAAUAAAAUGACAUCAAAUCAUUUUAGGAUUAAGCUUCUUCUCUUGAGGGUUAUAGAUUCUUAGCUUUAGCCUUACAGCCCCAUACAUGAAGAUGUCACAGGCUAGACUUUCUGGUAGUCCAAAUUUCGAAAGGUGUCAUAGGCACGAACUUCCUAGGCACUCUAUUAAGUAUGUAAUUUACUUUUUUGAUCAGUUCUCCCUAUAGACUCUUAGGCAAAUCAGUUUUAGAAAUCAUGCUACGAACCAUAUCCUUCAAGGUUCAAUUUCUUCUCUCAGCCACACCAUUCUGUUAUGGAGUUCCUGGCAUUGUGUACUGAGCAACUAUUCCAUUAUCUUGUAGAUACCUAGCAAAAGGUCCGGCUUGUCCUCCUCCUUCAUCAAAAUGUCCAUAAUAUUCACCCCUUCUGUCUGACCUUAGAAUUUUGAUCAAUUUGGAAAAACAGUAGGGAUAUGCAAGAGCAAACAAUUUUUAUUGGAAACAUUCCUUUAAUGAAUUCCCUGGGAACUUCUAGAGUUACUUCGGAAACAAAAAAAGUAAAAUAAAAUUUAUUUUUGUUAUUCUCCAGUUGUUCGAAUUCCUUAUGAUCUGCAACUGAAACAAGUUCUUGCUAAUGGUAAAAAAGGAGCUUUGAAUGUAGAAAAAGAAAUAAUAGUAACCUGGUCCCGAGCGUCUACCAUUAUACCUACAAUGAUCGGGCAUACUAUUGCUAUCCAUAAUGGAAAGGAGCAUUUGCCUAUGUAAUCAAGGAAGCCGUACCAAAUACAUCUCUAGAAAUAUCAGAAGUAAUCCGAGCUGUAAUUGUACGUACUUGUAAAGAACUCAAACGCGACAACGGUAUGAUAAUACGAUAUGAUGACAAUGCUGCAGUUGUUAUUGAUCAAGAAGGAAAUCCUAAAGGAACCCGAAAAGCGACCCCAUAGGCUUUCGCUUUCGCGUCUCUCUAAAAUUGCAGUCAUGGUAAAAUCUUGGUUUAUUUAAUCAUUAAUCAUCAGGGACUCCCAAGCACACGAAUUCUCUUUUUCUCAAGCUUCCUUUCUACUUCAGUUUGAUAUUUUUUGAAUAUUUUAAAGCUUGAGACUUUUCUGCUAUGAGAUAUAAAUAACCAAAACGAGAAUGGUCAUCUAUAAAGGUGAUGAAAUAGCAAUUUCUAUCAAUUGUUUGAUGAGGAAAAGGUCCACAAAUAUCUGUGUGGAUGGUUUUUAAAAGAUCACUACUGCGAGUUGCACCUUUCUUUUUAGUCAUAGUGAGUUUUUCAUUAACACAUUUAAUAUAAAUUUCGUCAUCACCGAAAGUCAGUAAUGGCAAGAUUUUUUCCUUAAUAAGAAUUUUAAUUUUUUCUUUUGAAAUGUGUCAUAAACCUCCAUACCAUAACCUAGUGGAUGUUCCUUCACUUCUAAUCUUUUUCUCACUUGAUUCAGCUAUUAAAACUUCACCAUCUUCAUUUUAAUUGAGACAAUAUAAUCCAUCUUUAUUGUCUUUGAAUUCUAAGAUACAAAAACAUCUUUAUUAAAUCCAAAAUAAAACCAAGUCUUAAUAAUCUUGAAUAGAAAUUAAAUUUCUCUUUAUUUAGGGUACUAAAACUACAUCAUCCAACUCUAAAAUAAAUCUUGAAUCCAACUUAAAAUCAACUACUCCAAUAAUAUUUAAUGAAAACAAGAGGUAGCUAUCUAAUCUUCCUUGUCACAACGUGCUGCCAUGAAAGUGUUGUUCUCCCUAGAAGGUCAAGUACCACUAUCUCCCUAUUAGUGGUGGUAUUGAAAAUCUCAACAAGUGAUUCAAGUUGGGGGGUAGGUUUCACAUACUGCACUAGGAGAUUCUUGUAUCGAAGUAGCUUAUUGAUGUUUCGUCCUCUCCCAUAAGCGCAUACACCGAGCUUUACAGCGAUCCUAAGACUUCUGAGAUUGUCCUUUGUAGCCGUGUUUACCCUUAUGGGUCCUCCAUAAGGUGUCGCUGCUCCUUAACCUUUUUUCUCUCCAGCUCAUCUUCGUUCUGCUUCUUAAUUAGCUCCACUAUACGCUUUACUAGAAUUCCAUUCAUGAUUAGUUGACACGAGUUGCUCCUAUUAAUCGCCAGAUGCUUUUCCUUUUCCCUAAGCUCUAGGAAUUGUACUAUAAGAUACAUAAGGUAAGUAGCUAGCUUGAAUUAAAUAUAAUCCAUGAAUAACUUCAAAAUCAAACGUCCAUAUUUUGAAGUUCGAUCCAGUGAAUCUUUCAAUUUGCGAGAAAUUGAUUAUGACAGGACCCGCCCCGGAAUUUCCCGAAGACCGAAGCGGACCCCGUCUUUAUUCCGACAUCAUCCUGAUGCCGGGCCCACCUACUAAGAAAUCGAGACUUUCUACCAAAAUUUUGGCAGAGUCUCCCCUGUAAUUUAAGCAAUCCCAACAAAAAUUUACUCAACCUGCAACGUACACACAAAUAUAAUUCCAACCAGCAGCAUGCUUUCACAAUUCUACAAAUCACUAAAGUGGCCUCCGGCCUCAUAAGUAAAAUCUAUCAUGGGCAAUAUAGAGCAUCUACUGAAUUUAGAUUACAAGAACAGUUGAGUAGAAGAAUUUACACAGUUCCUAACUAGAAAGAUGCGCAGUUUGAGCUUCGUACACCACUCGCACGCUUCCUGGAGCGACUACUGGUUGGGGGGCGCAAAACAGAAAACAUGUGAGUGGACAAAAACCAGAUUUGCAGUUAAAAUCAAUAUAGUAACCCCACCUUGUAAAAAUAAUGCUCAAAUCAUGCAGGUUCACAAUUCAAUAGUUAAUUACUCAAAACAUGAUUCAUUAAAACUCAUCUAAAAACACCAGUUAUCUCUUUCAAAAAGAAUCCCAUUCUCUCAAUCUUGCAACUCCUGUCAAACUACUAGUUCCUUACACACUCACUAUACAUAUACAUAUAAAUAUACCUAUAUAUAUAAAUAUAACUAUAAAUAGCUAUACGAUAUACUCAUCACACCACCUAGGUACCGGGGAAAACAAUCCAACUGGGGGUUCAUUUGACUAGUCCGCAGGAUUUCCAGGUGCUAUCCUGCGUCUAGGGAUGAGCGGUCCAACCGGGGGACGAAACUCCAAAGCUCCCACACCGGAACAUCCAACGCCAUGUGUAGCUUCCAAACUAUGUCCUACGCGCGCAGACUGGGUCAUCACACACCGGAACAUCCAACGCCAUGGUGAUGACCCUAAACAUUAUACAAAGUCCUUCCAUACGCUGGAACAUCCAACGCCGCAUAUAGAAAGUGUCUCACACGCCGGAACAUCCAACGCCGCGAGUGAGACUAGUAACUGGGGAAGGUAAUUACGUAGUGUAAUCACACAACUUCUCUCCAAAAAUCACAUUCUUCCACAUCACCCUCUAACAACCCAAGUAUCUCAUCUAUAGAGAUUAUAUAAAUAUACUUCCCCACAAUCCAUAUAAAAUGCACUCUCAAAAACCCAAAAUGCCAAACUCACAAUAUAUUGCCAAGUGCUAUACGAUCGUCAAACUCAACUCAUGAACAUAAUAUAUAUAUAUAUAUCCAUAAGCCAUUAAAACAUUAUGCAAAAUCUUUCAUCGAUUAAAAACCAUACAUAUGAUUGAAAACAAAGUCCACUCACAAGUAUUCCCUCGCUGCCUGACCACGUGAGGGUCCUGCUUGCUGCGUACGUGCAGUCGAAACACCUAUUUCGAGAUACGAACCGAUAAUUAAUAUAAAAUCACGUCAAAGCGGAAAUUACAAAUUAAAUGCUUAACUCCCCAAAUUCCCCAUACGUGCACGUUGAAGAAGGUAUUCUAAGGUCCGAUUACAGGUUUAGGAAGCGUUCACGAUUUUUACGGUUAUCGCUUACCCGCAAACUUUGCAUUUUUGAAUCGGAACAUCCGGGGCUCCGAUUCAGAAUUCGUGAAGUCCCAUACGGUCCUAGAAAUUCCUAGAACAACAUAUUUUAAUUCGGGAAAGAUCUAACAGUCGGAACCUAUCGAACCCGGAUAACGCUCAAUAUGCGAAAAUCCGUUCGAUAGUCAAACGACAUCCGAAUUGAGAUCCGCGAAUUCCUAUGCGCUCGUGACAACCUAAGGAUCUCAUCGGGUUAAUUUACAGCCUCACCAGCCUUGCCCACGCACCGCCACAUGCACCGGCAGCGCGUGGGUGUGUAGAGUAAUUCCGGCGACGGAAAAACUCCACACCCGAGCUCACCCUUCCUACCCUAGCUCCUACUCGAGGUCAGGAUCACUUCAUUCAACUACGGGAAGGCCCAAUUCGGGCAGCAACUGGCCGGAAUUUCAUUUUGAAAUUCGGCCAAAACCUAGGUUUUCAAAAUCAAUUCCUACCCAACAAAUCAAUCCAAACCUAUACCACCAUCAGCUAGAACUCGAAAAAUAGAUGAGAAACCAUGCCUCACUCACCGGGUUUGGGCGGCGGAGGCGGCGGCGCGACUGCAGGAAAGAUCCGGUUCAAAACCGUCGAGCUCGCGGCCGGAUUUCGUAGUUUCCGACGGGGAAAACGGGCAGGUCUUGAUCAGGGCGACGAGGCGAGUCGAUCGGGACCGGUCUCGGGUGCUGCCGUGGCCGGAGCUGCGAGAACCGAGGAGAGAGAGAGCGGACGUCGGGGAGAGAGAGAGACUGAGGAGAGAGAGAGUGUCGAGCGCGCGCGAGGAGAGAGAGAGCUGAGGUGAAAAUCUGAUUUUUACUUUAUCCCUUUUCGAAAUAUUUACCGUUUUGCCACCGAUACUAUUUUGCCCGUAACUUUUCCGUUACAACUCCGAUUCAAGCCUACCGCAUGUCUACGAAUUCGUCUCAGUACCAUCUACCCAGAAAUACCAUUCGUGGUCCCAAAAUCCUUCCGAAGAAGAAAGUGGCCAAUUUACCCCUACCCCAAGGGUAAAUUCGUAAUUUUAUUUAAAUCAAUUAAAAUAAACAUUUAAUUUGGAGUCGGGGUGUUACAGAUUAAGGGAGUGUUCAAAGCUGUAAGGAUUUGUAAAAGAAAACACAAUUACUUUCCAAGAAACCGAUUCUCAAUUUGUUAAGAGAAAAUAAUUUUUCUGUGUAACUUUAUUCACAAAACUAAUAAAUAACAUAUGCAAACUUCCUUAAUUAAGUAUCACACCUUUGUGGCAAGAGAUUACUUAUAGCUUACACAAAUUACGUGUUAUCUUGUGCCAUCACAAAUAAAUUACAGGAUAGAUUCUAUUUGUUAAAGAAACUUAUCAAGUAAUUUUGGCAUGAUGCAAUUUUAGUUAUUUCUUUAGGGUUUGAGUAUUUGGGUUUGGUUUUGUUAUGACAAAACAUAGUUCAAGAGAGAAAACCCUAAAUUGCAGUGAAUAGUAACUUCUACCCUAAACAGUGUUUUAGGGGUUUUUGGUGUUCGUUUUUGACGCAAAAUACCUUUUUGAAUAAGGAAUGACCUAAUUAACACAGCACAUAGAUUUCCUGUGAUAUAUGGGCAUUUUUAGGGUUUUAAGGUCAUCUAGUAGGUCAAAAACGUGUUUAAAGUUUUGAAUAUAUGAAAAAUCAAAUUAAACAAAUAAGAAAUCGUAAUAGGCAUGCUUGAAAAACGAUUUCAGUGUGUGCAAAUAACCAUGUGCUUUGAUACCAACUGUUAGAUUUAUUUAUAUGCGCGUUCAUGAUCUUUUACACAAUCUGAAAUACGCAGAGACAUACCUAGGGCCAUCUUUCUUGAAUACACGACCUCUGAACUCAUUCAACCGUAGUAGCAACAAUCCCACUCAUUCAACCCCAAAAGCAACAAUCCCAACAAGAACAGGAAUGGCUCAAGACAUCUGCUCUAUCUCAGAAUCUGUUUCAGCUCUCUCUUUAUGAUGAGAUUAGGGUUAAAGAACGUGUCUGAUGAGAGCAAGGCCUUAAGCUUAUAUAUGGCUAGGUUAAGUUGUCUCUACUCAUCAUCGAUGGCCGACUUGACUAAUCUUCCAAGCCCACCAAGACGGUUCACGCAAAAAAGAAAAUAAAUAGGACCCUUUAAUAGGUUUCAAAACCUUUCCUUAUUCCACAAGGUUUUGGGUCUCAAGGCAUAACUUAAUUUAAACUCUUAUCAAAACCUAAUAUAACUUAAUAUCUAGUGCACCGAUCUAAAUAGGAAACAUAACAUCCAAGCAUCAACUUAUGUCCAGCUUAGAUCAUUUGAGUUUAUUAUUUCAAAGCUAAGUUGCUCGUGAGUUCCCAGAAACAAAAGAAUGAGGGCAGAGGGCCCAAAGAGGACAAUAUCAUAUUAUGGCAGAGCCGAUCCGGUAUGUGACAAGAUCAAGGCAAUCAGGGACUAAAAAAAAAAGUGUGGCACAAGGCUCAAAGUUGAAUCCUGUGAGAAAUGAGAAGCAAACAUAAACUCAGGCUUUGUGAUCCUUCAAUUUUUAUAGGACGUCGAUUUCGACUUUGGAAAAGCUUUUUAGAAACCUCCUCCGAUUCUCUUAAAUAAACUUACCACUAUAUAUAUAUAAGCUCAUAUUUUGUGGAUACUAGCUGGGGGAACAUAAAAUCUUUUCUAAGAAAAGUAAUUAUCUGAAUGUCGGAGUGGAGACGAGAAAGAUUCAAAGAUGUUUGAUAAACUAGCCGGCCAUGGUGUCAUUGUCAGGUUCGGUUUUGAAUAUUGAUAUAUGAAUGUUUCUGUAUGCAGUUUCAUGCACCACAAAACAUAAAAAGUAAAAACUUACCUAAGAAUUUUCAUUGACAAACUGGGAUAUCAUCACGAAAAAUCAAAAGUUAGGUUUGAUAAUAUAGAAAUUAAUGAAGAAUAUGGUAGGACAUUAUUUUUAUUGUGGCAUUGACCAGAGAAUCAUCUAUCACAAAGGCUUGAUAGCAUCAUAACAUCUGUUUAUGUUCAAAGUUUGAAACCUGACUAAAAAAAGAAAGUUUUUUUUUCUUUUCUUCUUCUUGUUUCAGCUAAUGGAACUAAAUGGGAAAGGACUUGGGGGAACUGAAACUUGAACUAUUCCUUCAAGCAUCAGCAUAACCUUCUUCAUAGUAGGUCUCACUGCAGGGUCUUCUUGGAUGCACCAAAUGGCAACCAUCACAAAUCUCUCAACUUUGUUCAUAUCAUUCAUGGGAUGAGUGAGGAGAUGAUGAAAUUGUUUGGAGAAAAGAAAUAGAAAGAGGAAAGGAGCAGAACCGAGAAGGAAAAAAAAAUAUAUUAGAGUCGGAUCUAGUCUAAUAAUGGAAAAGAUAAAGACAGCAGCUUUACAACGCACUAAUCUAAGAACAUACUAACAAGACCAUAUGUACAUAUUUGAACCAACUUUACAACUCAUUGAGGUGGGUUGCACACUUGUCUUCUGUGGAAGUAACUUUGGUGGGUUGCAUGUUAUUCCUUUUAGGUUUCAGCCUGUUCUGGUAUACGGAGAGGGACAUGGAGGAACAUGUACUUCCACCACGCCUUCAAGCAUCUGCACAACUUUCCUCAUAGUUGGUCUAAGAGAUGGGUCUUCUUGAAUACACCAAAUACCAAUCAUCACAAGCUUCUUUCUAUCAUCCAAUGCCUCAACUUCAUAAUCUAGAACAGCAUCUAAUAUCCCAUCACGGUAGCAAUCGUACACCCAAUCCGUUAAAAUUGCUCUGUCUUCACAGCCAUUUUCCACAUCAACGCUUCUCCUACAGCAAAUGAUCUCAAGCAGCACAACACCAAAGCUAUACACAUCAACUUUGGCAGUGAUUGGCAUGUUCCUGAACCACUCAGGGGCAACAUACCCUUUUGUUCCUCUAAUGGCAGUAUGUGUGUGGCUCUGAUUCAUCAUCAAAAGCUUUGCCAAUCCAAAAUCAGAGAUCCGAGCAGUGUAAUAAUCGUCAAGCAGUAUGUUCUGAGGCUUUAUAUCACAAUGGAUGACUUGGGUGCUGCACUCUUCAUGCAAGUACAAAAGUCCCUUGGCAACUCCACAAGCAAUUUCAAAUCGCUGCGUCCAACUGGGUUUUGUAUCAGCAAAAAGGAAGCUUGCUAACGUGCCAUUGCUUAAGAACUCGUAUACUAGCAAUCGAUGUUCCCCUUCGUCACAAUACCCAACCAGGCAAACUAGAUUCUUGUGAUGUGUCUUACCAAUUACGCUCAGUUCUGUCUUGAAUUCCUUCUCACCAUCUUGUAUCACACAGUUUAGCUUCUUCACUGCCACUUGGACACCAGAACCAAUUUGUAUUGUCCCUUUGUAAACAACUCCAAACGCACCCCUUCCUAAUUCUUCUGUGAAUCCAUUUGUAGCUUCUUGAAGCUCUCGGUAACUAAAAGAAUACAAAUUUGAGUCCAACAUAUUUUUGAUAGACCUUACUUGUUUCUUCCGGAAAACGAAUAAAAAUCCCAGACAAACAGCAGCACUAAAUAUAAAACUAACAAAGAUAGAGGUAGCCAGAAUUACGGAUUCCACGGGUAUCAAAGUGUUACUGCUCUUCUUCUUCUUAUCAUCUGGAUUUGGCAUUGGAGAAAAUUGUAGAGUUGGGUUAUCCUUUCUGACUUUGAAGAAAGCCUUUGAAUUAAGACUGACAUCCACUCUCCCAUUUGAGAGAGGUAAUUUCUUUUUCCAGCAGGUUUCAUUCCUGAAAACAGCAACAGCACACAAACAAUCUUGAAAGCAAGAUUCAUUGCACUUUUCUGCAGUAAAAGGUCUGAACUCUGCAUAAUCUGAGAUUGGCCAAUCAAUAUUUGUCAUCACGAUUACAUCAUAUGGAUCUUUUGUGGUAGUAAGCUCAUCUUCUUCACAGCCUUGUAUGAAAUCCGGUUUGCAGCUCCCAAAUGGUUCCUUUGGAUCAAGUAAAGAGAAUCCUCUUGGGCAUUGACAGGUUGGCCUAUUAUCAGCGUUGAGCUUGCAGAUACUGUUGUACCCACAAAUACCAAAACCUGAAUCUUCUGUAAUUCUUCGGCAAAUAUCAUCUGGCUCUGACCACAGAAGAGUCCAGCUUACAUUUCCAGUGAAAUUCUUUGGGUGAUAAUACUGAGCGAAAAUCCCAUCAAAGUUGAGAGUUGCUCUAAUAUAGUUGUCCCUUGCUGAGACUACCUCUUCCCCUGCAAGAUUGUACUUUCCACCAUUCUCUCUCAGAACAUACAAGUAGCCUGAGACAUUGAAAACCAAUUCUUUACCUUCACUACCUGCCACAGUCCCUGAGGUAGUGUCGGUUUCAUAGUAAGGUUCGUUGGCAAAUUCUGUUGGCAAGUUUAUGGAGCUGAGCACAAGUUUCCCAUCUUCUUGCAGAAGCAGCUGGAACCGUCCUUUUGAAUAGUCAGUCUCCGAAUAUCGAGAUGAGAGCGUCCCACUUCUUUCAAUUUUCUGUCCAGGCAACAAGGUAUCUGUAGGAUUGUUGAAGGUCUCCCAUAAAUUUCCUGAUUUGCCAUCUUGAAGAACAAAGUUGCCAGUAUUAUUCAUGACCCCAUUGGCAACAACACCAACAAUGGUUUCAGAUUUCCAUAGCUCUUCACCCUGAGGACUUGCAAGCUCUAGUCCACUGUUAGCCAAGUUCACAGUUGAUCCAUUAGGUGCAAGCGCAGGCUUAUUAUCCCUAUUUGCAUACCAAACUAUGGUUCUGUUUGGUAUUUUGGCAUACCAUAUUGAGAGCAGGAAAAGAUCAUUGUUUCCAAGUGGCAGAAAUCCAAAGGCAAAAUCACCAGAUGGAGAAAACCAUGGUGAGGAGUUACCUGCAGUUGCAGUAAGAGAAGCACCGACUGCUAUGCUACCGUUAGUUUGAGCAAACACAGAAACUGGUAGCAGAAACAGUGAGGAAAACAGAAGCAGCCGUACAGUAAUAGUCAUUGCUAAUUUUCUAGCACCGAUGUGGUUAACCGAUGUAGUUAGGCGUACUACAAUAUCCUUUCUGUAAAUGCGUGCACAACAUCUUGCUGUGAGACGGCAAGGUGACAGCGUGACGCAAAGACAAAAACUUCAGAAUUUUUUAUGAUGAAUUGGAUUAUUUCCUAUAUUUUUAUAUCUCUCUUAUAUUUGGUUUUUGUAAGGAAAGUUAAUUAAAAAUAGCAUUAUUACCUUACUUUCUUUAUUUUCAGCUAUUAUGCGCGCUUGGAAGGAUUUCGACGGAAAAUUGACUUUUCGAAUGAAUUUUAGCGCAAGACCAAUUGGAGAAGAAAGCUAAGACAUUGAAGAUCAUUGUAUCACAGUUUUAUAAUUUUCUACUAAGCCAAAUUCUCCAAACUUGCAAGUCAAGACAGCCUAAGUUGAAAUCCCAUCAGAACUGCACUACUAUGGAAGAUUGAAGAUUUGAAGCUUUUUCCGAUUUUUCCUAGUAGCGUGUGACAUAUGCUUGGAAAUUUUAGAGAUCAAGCUACAUUUCUCAUAUUUUGCCAUAAUUUUCUAGGAAGCGUAAGGACCCCAAAACGUGCGUGCAAUUUGACUGACAUGUUUCCAAGUCAAAGAAGGAUUCUUUCUUAGUUUAAUUGUUUGAGAUUUUGUUAUGCUUUAGGAGAGCUUUUCUAGACCUUUUUAGAGUAGGUUUUAGUUGUUUUACACUAUAUUGGUCGCCCUAAGCUCUCUCUAUAUGGACCAUCUUUUUCUACCAUAUACUUUUCACCAUAUUUCACUACACCCACAAAUAUAUCACAGAGAGAGCCAAGAGUUUGCUGUAGCAGUGCUUUUGGAGCUUACAAAGGUGUUGCUGUGGAGAAUCCAGUGAUCAAAUUCAUCUGCCAAAUCGGUUUUAUGACAACAAUUCUCUUGUUUAUCUUUUCUUUUGUUAUGAACUAAUUUGUCUUACUAGGGCUAUGAUGUAGCCUAACCAUGAACACUUAAUUUUUAUAGUUAUAUUAAUUUCUUAUUACUAUUUCAUGUUGAGUAUUUUUUACUAUUCUUAAUGCUUCAAAUAUCUAGCUAAUAUUUAAUUGGUGAUCCAAACGGAGAUCGAGAGGAGAUGUUUGGUGUUUGCUUCUUGUAAUAAAUACCAUGUCUUGAUUGAGUGCCCGAGAGGGACUAACAUGACUCAUGCAAUUUUCUUGCAGGUUCUCAUAGAGCUUAAUGGGUUCUUGAUUUUCUAAAUUCGUUGCUCGAGAGAGAAUGAGUUGUUAAUUAAGAAAAUUUUUGGUUGAGCCCUAGAGGGGAUAUCAAAUGAAUUAGGAGAAACCAACUGUCAACAUGGGUAGUAAUUAGGGUUAAUUGGCUAUAAGAAUUAACUGGAGUUGGUUAUGGUGAAAUCGGAUGCUCUAGUGUCUCAUCAACUUGAUUUUCCAUUGUUAAUUAAGUUGCUAUUUUUUAUAUAUGUUUUAAUUUAGUUUAAUAAAUCAAUCACUCUCAUUAAUCAAUUGUUCAAAUAAACUUCUAAAUUAACCAUAAUUGGUACUUAAAUAGAAAUUACAGUCUUCGUGGGAAUGACACUUCACUUAUCUCUAUAUUACUUGUGCGAAUUGUGCACUUGCAAUAAUUUCAGAACCACCUACAAAAUUUGAAAAUUGUUAUGAAUAGUUAUUGAUGAAAUCAUCAGUUGGAGCUUUGUCUUUUUGUUUUUGGAUUGUGGGUGCGAAGUCUAUUUCAAUGUUUUAUAAUGUAGGGUAAUUACUUGGAAGCUGAAAUUUUCUUUGACUCCUUCAAGCAUCAACUUAUGUCCAGUUAGAUCAUUUGAGUUUAUUGUUUCUGAGCUCUUUGAAGAAAAAUCCAAAAAGCGCAGCAGCCUGUCAUGAUUGAAUAUUGUCCCACAUUGAAAAGUUUGGGAACUAGCAUAUGACCUCAUAGGAUAGGAUUAUUUGUCAAAACUUUACCUUGGCAAUUUUACAAACCCACUUACUAAUGUAGUUUGAGGAUCACUUGGCGAAAAAAAAAAUGUAGUUUGAGGAUCAAAUUCGGAUGUUUCAAAAUGGAGAGACCACCAAUGUGGUUCAAGGCAUACCAUCUAUAGAAAGCAAGAAAAGAUCACUGUUUUCAAGUGGCCAAAAUCCAAGGGCAAAAUCACCAGAUGGAGAAAGCCAUGAUGUAUGAGGAGCUAGGUGAGUAUGGUUUCUUAAAUCAAAGAAUCCCUUGGCCUAUUGUUGAGCAUGAACACAGAGUUUUAUUUAAGUUUUUCUUACGCACGAUCACUCCAUCAAAUGUGCAUAACAAUCACUUUGAUCAAACUAAACGAAUCAAACUUGGUUUUUGGAAUUUUUUUCUUAAAAUUUUGAAUUAGAUCAGGGCAAUCAGGGACAAAAAAAUGUGUGGCACAAGGCUCAAAGUUGAAUCCUGUGAGAAAUAAGAAGCAAACAUAAACUAUUAGGAGCUAGAACAAACAUAAACUCAGGCUUUGUGAUCCUUCAAUUUUUAUAGGACAUCGAUUUCGACUUUGGAAAAGCUUUUUAGAAACCUCCUCCAAUUCUCUUAAAUAAACUAACCACUAUAUAUAUAUAAGCUCACAUUUCGUGGAAACUAGCUGGGGGAACAUAAAAUCUUUUCUAAGAAAAGUAACUAUCUGAAUGUCAGAGUGGACGAGAAAGAUUCAAAGAUGUUUGAUAUAGCCGGCCAUGGUGUCAUUGUCAGGUUUGGCUUUGAAUGAUACAUGAAUGUUUCUGUAUGCAGUUUCAUGCACCACAGAACAUAAAAAAUAAAAACUUACGUAAGAAUUUUCACUACUACAAAAAGUGAAAAAGACGACCAGAAAACAACGACGGUCUCAGUGAAAACCGUCGUGGUUUUUAAAACGACGACGGUUCUAAAAACACCGUCGUGUAAUACCACCUUAGACAACUAAAAAGGGAGAUUCAAAUGGCUGUUCAAAAACAACGACGUACUUAAUUAAACAACCGACGUCUAUUUGAAACAGAUUUCCGCAGUGUAAAAUCAAAGCGAACAAAGAACGGCAGAAGUUAUGAAUCGACCGACGUAGAAAGUAAAGACGACGAUUUCAAUAAAAGCCGCCGUUUUUACUUAUAAAAUAACACGACGAGGUUUUCGUAUAAGACGCUGUCUAAUUACAAACAAAUCCACGGCUGUAAAAUACAAAAUAUCGCCGUAUUAAAUUAAUUUACAACGACGACAAAUAUAAAUAUAUCGACGUCAUUAUUGUAUAGUUCUACGACGUUCUCUUUAAAUCGUACUAUAAAAUCUAACGUCGUAUUUAUGCAUUUUAUACGUCGUACCUUUAAUUUAAACCGUCGUCUUAAUAAGAAUUUUUGUUAACAAUUUUUUUCUUUGAUUUUCUUAUCCUACGUCGGUAGAUAUACUUAAUGACAAGAAUUGAAAUAACCACGACGGUUUAUAUAAAAAACCGCCGACAUAAUCAGAUUUUUCUGAGAUCCCAAGGGUUACGAAAUCUUACCAGAUGGAACUCUGUUCCACAUCAUAAUCUUAACAGAUGACACAGAUUUGAAAUCAGAGAGACAAUUUUUUGGAAGUUGAUGAUGUGUGUGCGUUUGUUUAUCUACAAAUAUUAUACCUAACGUCGUUGCAAAUUUGCAAUCAGAGAAACAAUUUACAACGACGGUUAUAUUAUACCUAACGACGUUUAAAACAAAAAUCAACGUCCCUAAACAAAUAUAUUACGUCGUCUUAGUCUUACUUAAGACGACGAAAAACGACGACAGUAAUACAAAAACAGUCGUUGUUUUUAUAUUCUUAUUUUAUUUAAAUUCCAGAACAUUAAUUUCCUUCAUUUUAAAUUUCCUCCGGAAAAAAAACUCUAUUUAUAACGCACUGUAAUUGAAAAAUAAACUGAAAGUUCAAGGGAAAAAAAAUUCUAUUCAUAAUUUAAAAAUUAAAAUCCACGUCGGUUAUAUUAAAUAUAACGACGUUAAAUGAAAUGAGUCCACGUCGAACUAAAAAUAUUGCGUCGUGUUAGUUAAAAACGACGUAGUUAAAUGUCACCGCCGUAUUUUUUUUUUGAAAUGGUUUUAUAUGUAAGCAACUUUUCGACUUACACAUGCACUGUUUCCAAACCCGAUUAAAAAUCUCAAUCUCCCAGAGAAACCUUUUCGUCUUUUUUCCUUGUCAGAGCAUUGUCAGAGUUUCUCAUCGUCUUCCUCUCGUCUUCUUCGUCGUCUCUGAAUUUAAACAUCGAUCAUCUUCCUCUUGCUUUCAUUGCACGCAAAAGGUAAGCUUUCAUUUUCACUAUUUUGGUUACUGUUUUGCAUGCUCAUACGUUUUUUGUUUGAAAAAUCUUUUUACCUUUUUUCUGGCCAAAAUCAUUUUACUUCUUUCCAAGUUUGAUAAAAUAUACAGACAAAGAGGGAAAGUUUCCAACUUUGAAGACAACUACCUCAACUAAAUAAGACGACGGUAGACCACGACGGUUCGUCAGUUGUUCUAGCGUCGUCUGAAAAUUGACAAAGUUGUUUUUAAUAUAAUAGUCUUUUUUUAUAUGCUUGUUUAAUUGCAGGUUUGAUUUCUCUGAACAAUGGUUUUUGUUUUUCCCUUAUUUGAUAAAAUAUAAAGAAAAAGAAACUAGGGUUGGUAUCUAAUAUAGACGAAAAAUAUCUUAUUGUUUUACGUCGUGUGAAUGUUAAUACCACGACGGUGUAUUACUAUUGACGUCGUAUGAACAUAAAUACCACGACGUUAUAUAAAUAAUAGUUUUACCACGACGGUGUAUUACUAUUGACGUCGUGUGAACAUAUUUACCACGACGUUAUAUAAAUAAUGGUUUUAAACAUUUAUUACGUCUGAGAUUAUUUCAUUGCGUCGUCUAAAAUCAUAUCAUACGUCGUAUUUUUUUAAUACCGUCGUUUGUGUUCUUAAUGUUUUCCUGAAAUAUUUUCACUUGCAGUUUUGUCUGUUAAAAUGGUUUCUCAACAACAAACUAAGGAUUCUGGCUCCAAGAAGCUUGGAGUGGUAGCUCCCCAAGACAAGUCUUCGAAGGAGAUGAAGUCUUCGAAGAAGAUGAAGUUUGCUUCAUCAUCUGCUGAGACAGAACCAACCAGCCAGACAACAAUCUCUGAUGAUUCAAAGACUGGUCGAGGUAUGAGCACAAUGCCUCGUGUUGUGAAGAGAAAGCUUCAGAAACUGAGGCCAAUUGUUGAGUACAAUAAAAGGGGGAAAGGUGUUGGCCAAGCACAUAUUGAGAUGCAGUCGUAUAUUGGUGUCUUGGCACGCUCCAGGAUCCCACUUGUGGACAAGAAAUGGUCCCAAAUCCCAAAGGAUAUAAAGGAGCAGAUUUGGGAAGCAGUUGACAUGGCUUUUGUCGUAGGCCAAGGGGGCAAGACCUCUGUUUUAUCUUCUGCUGCCAAAAAAUGGAAGGAUUUCAAGUCUACACUAACGAGGCAUUAUAUCCUUCCAUACACCAAUGACAGGGAGAAAUUAAGCCAACCCCCUGAAACAUAUAAAUUCAUAGAGAAAGCACAAUGGGAUGCCUUUGUAGCUUCAAGGCUAUCCAAAGAUUUUCAGUCUGUGCAUUCUCAACAUUCACAGAUUAGGGAGAAACUCGAGUACAAUCAUCGAUUGUCUCGAAAAGGAUAUGCUGGAUUGGAGGAUCAAUUGGAGGAAACCAUGCCUGGGGUAGAAAUUGAUCGAUCUACCUUAUGGAAGGGAGCUAGACAGGACAAACAUGGUAACAUCCCUGAUCCAAAGGUGGCAGAGAAGGCAAAAUUAAUUGUAAGCCUACUCACUCUGUUUUAAAUUUUUAUUAAACUGUGAAUUAUUCUUAUUACGUCGUAUGUUAUAUUUUUCGUCGUGUGAAUGAUAUUACCACGUCGAAAAGUUUUUAAAAACGUCGUUAACGGUCUAAAUAGGAAUCACUACUCUGUUUUCUGUUAUUAUAGCAUACGACGUCGGUGGUUCAUUCUCGCGUCGUGUGAAUGAUAUUACCACGUCGAAACUUUUGUAAAAACGUCGUUAACGGUCUAAAUAGGAAUCACUACUCUGUUUUCUUUAAUUAUAGCAUAAGACGUCAGUUGUUUAUUCAUUUCGUCGUUUUAAAUAAAUAACCACGUCGGUAUAACUACCGUCGUGAUAAGUUAUAAUAACGUCGUUUUAUAUGUUAUUGCAUCGUGUGAAAUUAUAUAAUACGUCGUUUGUACAUAAAUAACCGUCGUGUGUUUUUUUGUUUAUCUUUGUUUUAGGAUGAAUUGCAGAAACAAGUCUCGGAAGGCAAAGUCAGAGUAGAUGGCAGCAAUGAUGUGCUGACCAUGGCUUUGGGCCCCGAGCAUCCAGGCAGGGUGAGGGGAGUUGGUGCUGGUGUUUCCCCAAGGCAAUAUUUCAAUUUGCCCAAACCACAGAGGGUGAGCUUUGACGACCGUUUGAAGGAGAGUUUAAGAGUUCUCCUUCAAGAAGAGACUAAAAAGAUUGAGGCUAAGGCAAGGGAAGAGGCCUUAAGGAUGGAGGCUAGGACAAAACAAUUGGUAGAGGCUGAGAGGGAGCAUUUCCUGAGUCAGCUUUCCCAAUUAAUUCCCAAUUUUGAUCCAAGCAUGCUUAAACCAAGAAUUAGCCAAAGCCCCAAAAAUCCAAUGUCUGACAAAGCUAGCUGCUCUGGAGGUGAUGUGAGAUCCCUACAUUUGGAGGAUGAUACUGCCAAAAUGGGGAAACAUCAGCCAGAUGAAGAGAAGGAAGAAGAAAAGAGAGAUGAAGAGAAGGAAGAAGAAAAAAGAUAUGAAGAGAAGGAAGAAGAAAAAAGAGAUGAAGAGAAGGAAGAAGAAAAGGAGAAAGAAGAUGAAGAAAAGCAUGACGACAAGGUAUGUUAACAUAACUUUUUUAUUUGUUUUUCAAAAUUUCAGACGUCGAUAUUUUUAUUUAAUCCGUCGUUUGUUUACAACUUAGACGGCGGAAUUUUUUUAAGACGUAAUAAAAUAUUUAAACGACGGUUUUUUCACCGUCGUUUAAAUGGUUUCAAACGACUCUUUAUUCAUAAAACCGUCGUCUUUAUUAAAUUACCACGACAAUUUUUUCACCGUCGUUUAAAUACUUUUAAAACGACGUUUUAUUCCUUAAACCGUCGUCUUUAUUGAAUUACCACGUCAUUUUUUUUAUUUCUUUAAACAGGUUAUUGAAGUUGGUGCUUAUUCAAAAAUGGAGGCGCCAUCUUCUUUAAAAACCCUUUGUCGUUUUGUGGAAACGACACUCCUGCCUGAGGAUAAGACAGUCCAAUUUACAAUUGAUAAGGAGGUGUUUGGUGGUGAGCGCGAUACCUUCCUCCUGCCUGAAGAUAUUACACAAUUUGCAGGCAUGGAAGAAAUUGGAGCUACUGUAUUGGCUGUAUAUAUGAGGUUUGUACUUCUAAAAUAAUAACUCGUUGGUUUAUAUAUUGCGUCGUCUUAACUAACUAACCACGUCGUCUUAACUAACAACCGUCGUGAUAAAUAUAUUAUAACGUCCUCAUCUAUUUCAGUACGUCGUUUGAAAUAUUAUAAUACGUCGUUUUUUUUAUACAUAACCGUCGUGUUUUGUGUGCUGACUUGUUUAUAUUAUUUUAUUUGUUUAGGUACUUACACGAUGUUUUGAAAAAAGCCAAUAUGUGCAGUAUGGUUGGCUUUAUCGACCCUGCUACAGUUAGCGCCAACUCUGGCACAAUAACUGCAAGAUCACGACUGGUAGCAGCUCGACUUCAGAAGACAGACGGUGAACAGAUUUUCAUGAUGCCUUACAAUCCAGGGUUAGUCUCCUUAGGAUUUUGUUUUUAUGAUUUUCAAUAAAUGACAGCUUAUAAACUAACCACGUCGGUGUUUUAUUUUAUUUAGUCGUUUGAAACUACUAACCACGUCGGUAUUUAUUUAUCGUCGUGAUAAAUAUAUAAUGUCGUCGUUAGCUACUUUACUUCGUCGUGUGAAAUACUAUAAUACGUCGUUUUUGUAAAUAACCGUCGUUUUUAUAUAAAUUUUGUGCAGCCGUCAUUGGAUCUUGCUGAUUGUAAGUGCAAAGAAGGAGACCGUCUAUUUUCUGGAUCCUCUGCCAGGUCAUCGUGUGGUCGACGAAGAGGCGAAAAACAUCGUGAACAGUGCUUUAAAAAUAUAUAAUACCCACAUAGCCCGAGCAGGACGUAAAAAUGUAAUUUGGAAAACUCUCUCAGGCACACCAAAGCAACCCAGCAAUGUCGAAUGCGGGUAUUAUGUAAUGCGCUUCAUGAGGGACAUCAUCAUGGAUCCUUCCUUGGGGUUUGAGAAUAAGGUAAGAAGAAAUUACCUUCAUACAUUUCACGUCGUUUUUUGUAUUAUCAACGACGGUCGUGUAAAAUUAACGUCGUUGAAUGGAUAUACUACGUCGGUUAUGAAAAAUAUCGUCGUCUGUGAUUGAAUUUCUUUUUAUUUAUAAACCCUAAUAGUCAUUGUUUAUGCAGUAUGCCAAGGGAAACCAGGAAGCUUCAUACCCCCAAGAAGCCAUUGAUGAAGUCCGGAAUGAAUGGGCAGAGUUUGUUUUCCAAAUUAUUAAACAGGGCAAUUAUUGAACACUUGAUAUUUAUGUAUAAUGUACCAAUUUUCUCUAUAAUAUGUAAUGUAAAAAUUUGUUGAGGUUUUCUUAAAUUAAAAAAAAAACAAACAUACAAAUUGCUUAACCGACGUGUAAUACUUUUCCAACGACCUAAUAAAGUCAAUAACCGUCGUAUUUUGUUGUUGCGUGUUUUAAACAAAUACGACGUAAAAAAAUAGUUAGACGACGUUCUUUGAACAAUUGAGUCGUUAAUGGUUUACAAUAUCUUCAAUUUCUUAAGGGUUCAGGGUAUAAUCGACGACGUUUAUGUAACGACUGCGGUUAAGUCGUAAAAUAUAUAUUUUACGUCGUAUAGUUAAAUAGCCGCCAUGGUUUCUCAUUUUAACGACGUCAUUUUAACGACUUAGUAGUCUAUUACAAUUUACAACGUCUACAAUUUAUUUAACACCGACGUGGUUUGUUGUAUGGUAAGAAUAUUUUAUUAUUUUUAUAUCAAAAUAUUCAAAAUAAAUAUAAAAUAAAUCAGAAAAUUGAAAAGUCAACUCCUAUGAAGUCAUUGAUAUAUUUUCUUCCACAUAAACCUUGAAAAAAUUCAUUUUGAAUAACAAAAAUUUAAAAUGACCAUCCAAAACAAAAUUGUUUUGAUGAGUCAUAAAAUCACUUCUAGUUUUAUGGUUUAGGGUUUAGAGUCUAGGGUUUAGAGAUUAGGGUUGUUAUUUAUUGGGGUUUAUUUUUAAAGUAUAAUUUUUGGGUAGUCUAUGUUAUAUGUUAGGCUUUAAAACCAUAAAACCUUUUAUAAACUUAAUUUUUUAAAUUGUAUAAUUUAAUUUUAUGGGUUUAGGGUAUUAAUUUUUAACGACGGUGUUUGGGUCGUGGAAUACAUAUUUUACGUCGUACAGUAAAACAUACGACAUGGUUUACGCUUUAAACGACGUCAUUUUAAUAUGUAAGUCGGUUUAUAUAAUUUACAACGUUUUUAAUUUCUUAACACCGACGUGGUUUCUCAUUUUAACGACGUCAUUUAACGACUUAGUAGUCUAUUACAAUUUACAACGUCUACAAUUUAUUUAACACCGACGUGGUUUGUUGUAUGGUAAGAAUAUUUUAUUAUUUUUAUAUCAAAAUAUUCAAAAUAAAUAUAAAAUAAAUCAGAAAAUUGAAAAGUCAACUCCUAUGAAGUCAUUGAUAUAUUUUCUUCCACAUAAACCUUGAAAAAAUUCAUUUUGAAUAACAAAAAUUUAAAAUGACCAUCCAAAACAAAAUUGUUUUGAUGAGUCAUAAAAUCACUUCUAGUUUUAUGGUUUAGGGUUUAGAGUCUAGGGUUUAGAGAUUAGUGUUGUUAUUUAUUGGGGUUUAUUUUUAAAGUAUAAUUUUUGGGUAGUCUAUGUUAUAUGUUAGGCUUUAAAACCAUAAAACCUUUUAUAAACUUAAUUUUUUAAAUUGUAUAAUUUAAUUUUAUGGGUUUAGUGUAUUAAUUUUUAACGACGGUGGUUGGGUCGUGGAAUACAUAUUUUACGUCGUACAGUAAAACAUACGACAUGGUUUACGCUUUAAACGACGUUAUUUUAAUAUGUAAGUCGGUUUAUAUAAUUUACAACGUCUUUAAUUUCUUAACACCGACGUGGUUUUUCAGUCGUCGUUAUAUAAAAAAUUCAAAAUAAAUUUAAAAUUAAUCCGAAAAAUGAACGGCCUUACGUUCUUAAUCCGAAAAAUGAAGUUUCCGUCGUGGAAUAUUAAAUUUACGUCGGUACUUGUAGAACUUUCGCCUUGGUUUUUCUUUCGACGUUUUAUAACGCGCGCGCUCUAAAAAUUUUCGCGCGACCUAAAUUUUUUUAGAUUUGGCUCUUAGUCUUAUACUUCGAUCCCUGAAACCUAAAAUUUCAGAUUUCACGCGACAUAACAUUUCGCUCUCUCACUUCUGCUCUAAUUAAAAGUUGCACUCUCCAGGCUCGUCGAAUCUGUGAGCUCGUCCAACCUGUAAGUACAAACCCUAUCUUCCCCUUGUAAAUUCAUUGAAUGAUAUUAGGUUGUUUUGUUAAAGGGUUUUAGGUAUAUGCUUUGCGAUCUGUUAAUAAUGUGCUUAUAGGUAUGGGUUCAUGGAUUUCUGUUUAAUGGGUUCAUGACAAGAUCAAAUAAAGGUGUACUUUUGCUGGAAAUCAACACAAAAAGACACAGAUCACCAACUUCCAAAUGAUUUCCAGCAAAAGGACACCUUUAUUUGAUCUUGUCAUUUUCCGCUCUGGAGAAGGUGCAAAGUGCACCAAUGCUUAUAGGUAUGGGUUCAUGGAUUUUCUGUUUAAUGGGUUCAUGGAUUACAUUAUCUGUUAUGUUGAAUUGGGAAUGGAUUUAAUUUUGUCGUAUCUUUUAAUCACCCUAUGUUAUGUUGAAUUGGGAAUGGAUUUAUUGUUUUCAUGCUUGGUUUCAUGUAUAUGUUGGUUUCUUGCUUGGUUUCAUAUAUAUGUUGUGUUCUUAAUGGGUUUUGUGUUCUUGAAAAUAAACUGAGACACGACGAAUUUUAAGGCGUACGACGACGAUUACACGACGGUUUUUUUAAACUACCGUCGUUGUAUUACUUAUACACGACGGUUUUUUCAUAAACCGUCGUUUGUAUUACUUAUAAUAGACGACGUCUGUUGAAAAUCCGUCGUCUAUAUAUGCCAAAUACGUCUGUUUUUGAUUAAAACCCGUCGUCUCUGUUGUUUAUUACUUGCGAUUAGAUCAUUGUAUAAUCUGCUAUAGUGAUGGUCAUUGCCUGUAUUUUCACUUUAUUAUAGAUAAUAGGUUAUAGUGUCGGAGAUGGAUAAGUCAUGGAUGCACUCGGAUAGAAGAUCGAAGGCAUAUGAGUUUGGGGUGGAAGCAUUUUUGAACUUUGCUGUAGAAAAUCUUCUAACUACAACACAUAUCCGUUGUCCAUGUGUUAAAUGUGUUAAUUUGAAGUUGUUUGGGGUUGGAAUUAUAAGGGAUCACUUAUACUUUAAUGGAAUUGACCAAAGCUAUAAGAAUUGGACAUUUCACGGAGAACCUUGGGAAGCAACUACUAAUGCUAGCAGAAAUGUUGAAGAAGAUGAUGGCCAUAGUAGGUACAGUUUUGUGUCUGAAGAAAUUGAUAUGGAUGAUAAUGAUUUUGGUGAUUUUGGUUCGGAUCCGUAUGAGUUUGCCAAUGUGAUUGGGGAUGGAGAUCAACCAGUGUACCCUGGUUGUAGAAAGUACACGAAGUUAUCGGCAUUAGUGAAGUUGUAUAAUUUGAAGGCAAAACAUGGGAUGAGUGAUGUCUGUUUUACAGAAUUAUUGAUACUUCAAGGCGAUUUGCUUCCAGAAGGAAAUACAAUACCAACCUCCAUGUAUGAGGCUAAAAAGACUUUGUGUGCAUUGGGGCUGAGUUAUGAGAAAAUGCACGCAUGCCCCAAUGAUUGCAUCUUGUAUAGGAAGGAGUAUGAGGAUUCAACUAAUUGUCCUACUUGUGGUAUCUCAAGGUGGAAGGAAGGCAAAGAUGCAAUCUUGAAAGAGGGUGUGCCAGCGAAGGUGGUGUGGUAUUUUCCCCCAAUUCCAAGGUUUAAAAGGAUGUUUCAAUCACAUGAGACAGCUAAGAGUUUGACUUGGUGGCAUGUUGCUAGAAAAUCAAUUGACGGUCAGAUGUCUCAUCCGGCGGAUUCCCCGUCUUGGAAACUUCUUGAUGAUAAAUGGCCUGAGUUUGGUAAUGAGCCGAGAAACUUGAGAUUGGCUCUUUCAUCUGAUGGAUUCAAUCCCCACAGUUCUCUAAGUAGCAGAUAUAGUUGUUGGCCGGUUAUCUUAGUUACAUAUAAUCUCCCUCCAUGGCUGUGCAUGAAACGAAAGUUCAUGAUGUUAACCUUAUUGAUUUCCGGUCCUAAACAACCCGGAAAUGAUAUAGACGUCUACUUGGAGCCUUUGAUUGAUGAUUUAAAAUCCUUGUGGGUUGGGAUUAGAGGAGUGUAUGAUGCACAUAAUGGAGAAUACUUUACACUCAGAGCUGCAUUAAUGUGGACAAUUAAUGAUUUCCCCGCCUAUGGAAACUUAUCUGGUUGUGUUGUUAAAGGAUAUAAAGCUUGUCCAAUAUGCGGCGAUGAUACACCUAGUCACAGGUUGAAAAAUGGCCACAAAAUUUGUUACAUUGGGCAUAGAAAAUGGUUACCAAUCAAUCAUCCAUAUAGGAGGCAACGUGCAGCUUUUAAUGGGAAACCUGAAUAUGGCAUACCUCCAGAGCCAUUAACCGGAGAAGAAGUGCUGCAUAUGGUUGAAAAUGGUGACAGAGUUUGUUGGAAGAAGAAAUCAAUAUUCUUUGAUCUCGAGUAUUGGAAAUACCUUCUUGUGAGGCAUGCCCUAGAUGUUAUGCACAUUGAGAAGAAUGUUUGCGAUAGUAUCAUUGGUACAUUGCUGGAGAUCCCUGGAAAAAAUAAAGAUGGGAUUGCUGCUCGAUUAGAUUUAUUGAACAUGGGGGUCAAAACUGAUUUGCAACCCGAGUAUGGAGAAAGACGUACUCGUUUGCCUCCUGGGCCUUGGAAUUUGUCAAGAGCAGAGAAGAGAGAGGUUUGCAAUUCUUUCUAUGGUAUGAAGGUCCCUGAAGGUUAUUCUUCAAAUAUUAAAAAUCUUGUAUCUGUACAAGAUUCAAGACUUCUUGGCCUUAAAUCACAUGAUUGUCAUACCUUAAUGCAACAAUUGCUCCCUGUGGCAAUUCGUUCUGUUUUGGAGAAGCCUGCAAGGUAUGCAAUAACUCGCUCGAACUUCUUCUUCAAUGCUAUAUGUGCAAAGACUGUUGAUGUUCCAAGCUAGAUANNNNNNNNNNNNNNNNNNNNNNNNNNNNNNNNNNNNNNNNNNNNNNNNNNNNNNNNNNNNNNNNNNNNNNNNNNNNNNNNNNNNNNNNNNNNNNNNNNNNNNNNNNNNNNNNNNNNNNNCCAGUAUAUUUUAGGUGGAUGUAUCCGUUUGAAAGAUAUAUGAAAGUGCUGAAGGGGUAUGUUCAGAAUCGUACUCGUCCCGAAGGUUGCAUUGCUGAGCGGUAUAUAGCUGAAGAAGCGGUAGAGUUUGUACUCAGCAUUUAUCUGAUGUUAGUACAGUUGGAGUGCCUUCAAGCCAAAAGAUGGGAGUUUCAAAGCCAUUAUCAGGUUGCACAGUGAGCGUAGUUGAUCAGGACCUGUUGAAUCAAGCACAUCUAUAUGUCUUGGAGAAUACGGAGGAAGUCCUACCUUAUAUCGAGUACGUAUGAGUUUUAUUCUUUAAGUUUCCAUUUAAAAUUAUUUCUUAUGUUUAUCUUAUAUAUUUGGGACCGUAAUGCUUGAAUUUUUCGUGUCAUGUAGGCAACAUAUGAUCCACAUCAAGACUGCUUAUCCAAAAUUUAGAAAGAGAACAAAGUGGCUGCAGGAUAAGCACAAUAGCACUUUCAUUCAAUGGCUACGCUUCAAGGUAUAUGUUGUUGAAUAACGUAUUUCUCUUUUAAUUUUCUUCUUAUUUAUAUGUUAGGAUGAAUUAAGAUAUGAUUAAUUUGCAGGUUCAAAGUGAACUUGAGGAAGACAAUCAUGGCGUAUCAGAAAAUUUAAGGUGGCUAGCAGCUGGUCCAAACAUGUCAGUGCCAUUAUAUAGGAGCUAUCUUAUUAAAGGUAUUAAAUUCAAUAUCAAGGCACAAGAUGAUGUGCGGACAACUCAAAAUAGUGGAGUUUAUUUACUUGCACAUACCAUGCAAGUUGCUAGUGCCAAGGAUAAAAACCCAAUUCUCUCAAAUAUGGGUUUCUAUGGUGUCAUUCAAGAAAUUUGGGACCUUGACUACCAAAAGUUUACAAUCCCAGUCUUUAGGUGUGAUUGGAUAGAUAGUUCUGGUCUUGUAGUCGACGAACUUGGAUUUACCCUUGUAGAUUUGAGUAAAAUUGGACAUAGGAAUGACCAAUUUGUUUUGGCUUCUCAAGUCAAACAAAUAUUUUUUGUUGACGACCCGAUGCAUCGUGGUUGGUCGGUAAUGUUAUCAAUGCCUAGUAGAGAAUAUAAUGAUGUUAUUGGUGAUGAAGUAUUAGGUGAUGUGAUAAUUGAGUGUGAGCCAUUUACUAGAGGGAUGCCAAAUGUUGACACAUUUGAUGAACUGGUAGGUGAGUUAGGCGGUCAAAAUAUUCGAGAUGGGUGUGAAGAUAUAUGGAUUGAAUGAUGCUUAUGUAAUUGGCAGUGUAUGACAUUAAUUUUGUAAUAUAUUGUAAUGUGAUUUCUUCACUUUCUACGUUCAAAUAAAACACGACGUUAUUGUGAAUCAGUUAUUCAGCAUAUUUACCGACGUCUUAAAGCAACGUAACAAUGAAGAACCACGACGCUAUUGUGAAGCAAUUAUUCAGGAUAUCACGUCGGUGAAGGAUAAAGAACCGCCAUGUAAUUCAAAAUAACACGACUCCAAUCCCAUAAUACCGACGUCUAAAAAACGAGAUAUAUAAUCUGAACGUUAAAAAAUACGACGUCAUCAUACAUUUUCCACGUCGCAAGUUCUUUUAUAAACGAAGAGGAACGAAAUUAAUUCCGACGGAAAUUCAUUAUAACCGCCGUCUAAUAACAAUUAAACGACGUUAUUUGUAAUACGGCUCCCAUCAUAAUCUACGCCGUCUAUAUGUUCUGUAAUACGGCUCUCAUUUAUUUGGAACCGACGUUGUUUAGAAGUUCAACGUCGUCUAUAUUAUUAAGUGCGUCGUGAGUAAUGAAUACAUAUAAAUACAACGUCGACUAUAUAAAUGUAUACGUCGUAAAUAAUGACACUGACAACUAUUUCCACGUCAUUUUUCUUUUUUAACGACGGUGAUUUUUUUGAGUUGGUCGUCUAUUCUCAUCCUCGACUAUUUUCUAGAACUUUAGCAGACUAUUCUCAUGUAUUUAAAGACGUCAUAUUUUUUCUUGUCGUGUAAAUUGUAUUUAACGGCGUAGUAUUUUAGUUGUCGUCGUUGUAUGUAUAAAUUUUUUAAUACGACUCUCAUAUAUUUGUAACUGACGUUGUUUAGUUUUUCAACGUCUACUAUAGAAACACAUACGUCGUAAAUAAUGACACUGACAACUAUUUCCACGUCAUCUUUUAUCGAAAAAUCGAAGUGGAAAAUUAAUUGUACGACGGUUGUGUUUAUAUGUGCGACGUAGUAGGUAUCAAUAACGUCGUCUUCUAAUGUAUUUAAAGACGUCAUAUUUUUUAUUGUCGUGAAAAUUAUAUUUAACGUCGGCGUAUUUUUAUUGUCGUCGUUGUAUGUCUAUCUUGCGGCCUUGUUCUCUUAAUAUGUGUCAUAUUUUCCCUUUUUAACGACGGUCGUUUUAGAGAAUUGGUCGUCUAUUAUCAUCCUCGAUUGCUUUUUUUAGAUCUUUUUGCAGUACAAAGACGUCGUUUUGUAUUUUUUGAUGACGUUGUAUAGUUUAACAACGACGGUUAUUUAGCGUCGUGGUUUAUGAGGGAAAAGAUGACGGUGGAUUCCACGACCAUUGAAAAACCAAAUACACGACGGUGAUUUACCGUCGUCUUUUUGCUUUUUUGUAGUAGUGUUUCAUUGACAAACUGGGAUAUCAUCACGAAAAAUCAAAAGUUAGAUGUGAUAAUAUAGAAAUUAAUGAAGAAUAUGGUAGGACAUUAUUUUCAUUGUGGCAUUCACCACAGAAAAUCAUCUAUCACAAAGGCUUGAUAGCAUCAUAACAUCUGUUUCUGUUCAAAGUUUGAGACCUGACUUUACAAUUUUUUUUUUCUUUUUCUUCUUCUUGUUUCAGCUAAUGGAACUAAAUGGGAAAAGACUUGGGGGAACUGAAACUUGAACUAUUCCUUCAAGCAUCAGCAUAACCUUCUUCUUGGUAGGUCUCACUGCAGGGUUUUCUUGGAUGCACCAAAUGGCCACCAUCAACUUUGUUCAUAUCAUGCAUGGCCUCCAUGUCAUUUUCAAUCAGAGCAUCUAAUCUGCUUUCCAAAUAGAAGUGAUAUGCCCAGUCAAUUAAAACUCCCCUCUCUCCACCGCCAACUUCCACAUCCACAUUUUUCUCUGGCAACAAACAAUUUCUAGAAGCAAGACGCCGAAACUAUACACAUCAACCUUCACAGAGACUGGUGCAGACUUGAACCAAUCAAAUGCAACAUACCCUUUUGUUCCUCUGAUUGCUGUUUAGAAGCUUGGGUUUGAUUGAGCAGCUUUGCCAAUCCAAAGUCGGAUAUUUGAGCGUUGUAAUAUUCAUCAAGAAGUAUAUUCUGAGGCUUUAUAUCACAAUGGAUGAUCUGUGUGCUGCAUUCUUCAUGCAAGUAAACGAGCCCUCCAGCAAUCCCCAAUGCAAUGUGGCUUCUUUGUUGCCAACUGGGCUUGACAUCAUCCCCAAAAAGGAAGCUGGCCAAAGUGCCAUUGUUCAAGUACUCAUAUACCAGCAACCUGUGCAGUCCCUCAUCACAAUAUCCUAGAAGUCUGACAAGAUUCCUGUGAUGUGUUUGGCCUAUGACCUUAACUUCAGCUUUGAAUUCUUUUUCCUUGUCGUUAAAUACUCUGUCCAACACCUUGACAGCAAGUACUGGUCCUCCUGCAUGAUUAGUUUUCCCCUUGUAAACAAUGCCACAUGAUCGCCUUCUCAGCUCUUCAUUGAACCCUUGUGUUGCUUCUAUGAGCUCUUUGUAGGUAAAGUAGCGCAAAUUGCUUCCUGCUGAAGCUUUGUCCUGUGAGUUCCCGUGAGCUUCUUCUGGUAGUAGAAGAAGAAACCCAAGCAAAUUGCACCAACCAAUAUGAAAUUGACAAACACAGAACUACCCAAGAGUGCUGAUCCCACAAUGAUCAAAGUGUUCUGAUUCUUUGCCUUUGGAGGUAAUGGAGGAGUUGGGCUUUGGAGGGUACCACUACUCCUUGAUUUAAGGAAAGUCUUACCGUUAACUCCACUAUCCUGUCUUCCAUUUGAAAGUGGUAGUUUUUUCUUCCAACAUCUGUUGUCUCUAGAAACAGCUGCAGCACAUAGACAAUCUUCAAAGCAAGAUGUUUUGCACGCUUCAACAUUAUAAGAUGUAAACAACUCAUAAUCUGAUCUUGGACAAUCAGUAUUUGUAAGCUCAUCCAUGUAGUACAAAUCUCUUUCAGAACCCUGCCCUCCACCAUCUUCACAUACUUGCUGCAGGAAAGCUGCCUUGCAACCGCUGUACUCAUCAGUUGGAUUCAAUAAAGAAUACCCCACUGGGCAUCUGCUGUUGGUUUAUAAGUGUGAUUGCCGAAAUGUAAUUAGAACAAAAGAAGUUUCUAUUCUUAGUUUAAAAGGCAGCUUUGGAUCACAGUCCAAGUAUGCAGCAGAAAAAAUGUAAUAGUCUUGUGCCACUUGUCUUUAUCUCAUAGGGUAGUUAAAUGAGUGGCUAGGAUUGAAUGAUGUAAUAAGGAAUAUUCCAUUCCUAACGGUUUUGUCAGAGCACAAUAUAUGCAUGUCAUAUUGGAGCUGAGCUAAUACAAUCUUAGCUAGCUUCUUCUCCAAUCUCUCUCUCUCUCUGAAAUUCUCUCCUCUUUCAUCUAGCCUAUCUCUCUGCAUUUCUAUAAGCCUUAUUACACUGAUGAUUGAAUAAAUAUACAAGAUAAUGGUCUGUAUAUGUUAACAUGGCCUCAGAGCCAGGUUUGAUCAAAUAACACUAGGCGUUUAGAACUGUGAGGAAUCGAAGUUUGCAGCUGAGUUUGAGUUUUGGAGAUCUAAGUCUAACAUGGCUGGGUCAAGUGGUGGUGAAUUGAGAGCACCAGUUUUCAAUGGUGAGAACUACGAUUUCUGGAGUAUACGGAUGAAAACCAUCUUCAAAUCUCAUGGACUGUGGGAUUUGGUGAUAGAGGGAUUCGAUAGUACAGAUCUGAAGAAGUCAGAUGAAUCUGAUGCUAAGAAAAAGGAAAAAGAAGAAUCAAGUGGUAUUGGAAAAGACUCGUUUGCUAUGAUACUCAUGAAGGAUGCUAAGGCUCUGGGAUUGAUUCAAGGAGUAGUUUCAUAUGAGAUAUUCCCACGAAUCUCUUAUGAGGAGACAUCAAAAGGUGCCUGGAAUAUCCUGCAGCAAGAAUAUCAUGGAGGUAAGCAGAUAAGAAGUGUUAAAUUGCAAAGUCUUAGAAGAGAAUUUGAAUAUACAAGGAUGAAGGAUGAUGAAUCAUUAACUGCUUACAUUACUAAACUGUUUGAUUUGAUAAAUCAAAUGCGAAGUUAUGGGGAGGAAUUGCCUAGGGAAAGGGUUGUUCAAAAAUUGCUCAUUAGUCUGCCAUCUGCCUAUGAUUCUAUCUGCUCAGUUAUUGAGCAUUCGAGAGAUCUGAAUGUAAUUGAAGUACAGGAGGUAGUAGCCUCGUUGAAGAGUUUUGAAUUAAGGCUGGACAGACAUUCUGAAAACAAAACUGAGAAGGCAUUUGCUAGUCUCAGUGUGGAUGCCAAAUCAGUUAAAGCUGGUGAUCAAAAUUCUAAACAAAAUAAGAGUGGAAAACAAAAGGCAAGAAGUGGGAUAACAAAACAAAUGAUGGUGCUAAAAAUCCUUGCAAGCACUGUGGCAAAUUAUACUUUGGAGAGUGUCGAUUCAAGGGCAAACCAAAGUGUUUCAACUGUGACAAAUUUGGGCACAUAGCCAAAGAUUGUUACAGUAAGAAACCAACACAGCAAGUCAAUUAUGCUAACCAAGUAGAUGCUACUCCAACUAUGUUUUAUGCUAGCAAUAAAACUGAUGCUAGUAUAAAAGGAGGUGAUGAGGUAUGAUACUUGGACAGUGGAUGUAGCAAUCAUAUGACAGGAAGGGAGGAUCUACUAGUUGACAUGACAGAAAUGUGACUGCAAAAGUUGAAAUGGGAAUUGGACAGCUUGUUGAAGUCACUGGUAAGGGCAGUCUUGUGGUUGAAACCAAAAUGGGCAAGAAAUACAUCAAAGAAGUUAUGCUUGUACCUGGUUUGAAAGAAAACUUACUCAGUGUGGGCCAGAUGAUAGAGCAUGGUUAUUACUUUGUGUUUGGAGAUUUACAAUGACAGUUUUUAUUCCAAUUUGAUUGCAAGGAUACAAAUGAGAGGAAAUCGAAGUUUUCCAAUGAAAUUGCAGGCUGAAAUACAUCUUGCACACAAGGCAAGUGUCUGUCACUCUACUGCAAUAUGGCAUAGAAGACUGGGGCAUCUAAAUCUGAGUAGUCUGAAAUUACUACAAGAGCAAGAAAUGGUUGUGGGAUUGCCAGAAAUUACAGCUGUUACAGAAGUAUGUGAGGGUUGUAUUCUAGGCAAACAGUGCAGAGAGUUAUCUGUGGUCCAAUGCAAACAACUACAAAAGCUGGAAAUUGAUACUUUCUCACUUUCAUAGAUGAUAACACAAGAAUGUGUUGGGUUUAUUUCUUAAGACAAAAGUGUGAGACACUGAGUGUAUUCAAGAGAUUCAAAGCUACUGUGGAACUGCAGAGUGGCUAUAAAUUAAAGAAGCUUAGAAGUGAUUGAGGAGGAGAAUACACCUCAGUGGAAUUUGAUAGGUUCUGUGCAGAUAUAGGCAUAGAAAGGCAGCUAACAACUCCAUAUACACCACAGCAAAAUGGUGUAGCAGAGAGAAAGAACAGAACUAUUGUGGAAAUGGCAAAGUGUUUGUUACUAGAGAAGAAGAUCCCUCUUGAUUUUUGGGCUGAAGCAGUUAAUACAUCAGUGUAUAUUUUGAAUAGGUGUCCAACCAAAGUUUUGAAUAAGAGAACACCAUUUGAAGCUUAUAGUGGAAGAAAGCCUGGAGUUAAGCAUCUAAAAGUGUUUGGUUCAUUGUGCUAUGCUCAUAUUUCAAGUCAACAAAGGUAGAAGCUAGAUUUGACAAGCAAGGUGUGUAUUUUCUUAGGCUAUGGAAGCUGUGAAAAGGGGUAUAGACUUUAUAGUCUUGAAACUGGAAAGAUAAUUGUGUCUAGAGAUGUUGUGUUCAAUGAAGAUGCAUGUUGGGAUUGGAAUACACAGAAAGAAAGAAGUGUGAAGAUUCCAAUUGCUGAAAUACCUGCAAGUAAGCAAGGACAAGAAGAAAACAGCAGUAAUCCUGAAGUACAAGGUGAAGAAGGUGAAAUAUUUGGUAUUAGUACUGAAUCUAGUGAUCAAGAAAGAAUGCCAAGCUCCCAGGAUUUUGAUCACACACCUCGCAAGUACAAGAGCAUUGCAGAAAUCUAUGAGAAAUGCAAUAUGUGCAUCAUAGAACCAGAGAGUUUUGAAGAAGCAGCAAAGGAUGAUUCCUGGAAGAAAGCUAUGGAAGAUGAAAUUCUGAUGAUAAACAAAAAUAACACUUGGGAACUUGUGAAUAGACCAUCUGACAAACCAAUUAUUGGUGUUAAAUGGGUCUAUAAGACAAAACUGAACUUGGAUGGAUCUGUGCAGAAGAACAAGGCACGACUGGUGGCAAAGGGUUAUUCUCAGAAGCCUGGAAUAGACUUCAAUGAGACCUUUGCACUAGUGGCAAGACUUGAUACUGUGAGAACCUUGGUGGAUUUGGCUGCACAAAGAAAUUGGAGGCUAUUUCAGUUGGAUGUAAAGUCGGCAUUUCUUAAUGGAGUGCUAAAAGAAUAAGUGUAUGUGGAUCAACCAUCUGGUUUUGUGAUACAAGGAAGUGAAGAUAAGGUGUAUAGGCUUAAAAAGGCCUUAUAUGGCUUGAAACAAGCUCCAAGAGCUUGGUAUAAAGAGAUAAAUUCCUACUUUACUAAAACUGGUUUUUAUAGGAGUCCAAGUGAAGCUACAUUGUACACUAAGAUGUCUACAAGUGGUAUUCUCAUUGUGUCACUAUAUGUAGAUGAUAUUAUCUACACAGGGAGCUCAAAAGAAAUGAUGGCUAAAUUCAAGAAUGAGAUGAUGAGGCAAUAUGGGAUGACUGACCUAGGAUUGCUUCAUCACUUCCUUGGCCUUGGAGUUCUACAAACUGAUACCUGCAUCUUCUUACACCAGAAGAAGUAUGCAAAGACUUUGCUUGACAAGUUUGGACUCAAGGAUUGCAAGCCUGUUGCAACACCACUGGCUGUGAAUGAAAAAUUGUCAAAGAUGGAUGGAAGUGAUCUUGCAGAUGAAACUUUGUAUAGGCAAAUGGUGGGGAGUUUGCUCUACUUGACUGCAACCAGACCAGAUAUCAUGUUUGCAGCAAGCCUCUUGGCUAGAUUCAUGCAUAAUCCAACCAAGAAGCACAUGGGAACGCAAAGAGGGUGCUGAGAUACAUUCAAGGCACUAUGAAUUAUGGAAUUGCGUAUGAAAAGGGAAAAGGGGCAGUGUUAAUAGGUUACUGUGGUAGUGAGGAUGACAUGAGAAGCACAUCUGGCUAUGCAUUUAAUUUGGGAUCAAGUGUGUUUUCUUGGGCUUCAAUCAAGCAAAGCAGUGUUGCUCUUUCAACUGCAGAGGCUGAGUAUAUGAGUGCAGCAGAAGCUACUGCACAAUCUAUUUGGCUGAGGUUUGUAUUAUCAGACUUUGGGGAGCAGCAAGUAGAACCAACUAAAUUGCUAUGUGAUAAUACUUCAGCUAUUGCUAUAUCGAAGAAUCCAGUUCAUCAUCAUAAAACCAGACAUAUCAAUCGAAGGUUUCAUUUCAUUCGAGAUGCACUUCAAGAUGGUGAGAUUGAUCUACUAUAUUGCAAAACUGAAGAGCAACUUGCUGACAUUUUCACCAAGCCUUUGGCAAGAGAUCGAUUUGUAUAUCUGAGGAAAGCUCUAGGAGUCAUUUCAGCACAACACUUAGAAGGUAGUGUUGGUUUAUAAGUGUGAUUUCUGAAAUGUAAUUAGAACAAAAGAAGUUUCUAUUCUUAGUUUAAAAGGCAGCUUUGGAUCACAGUCCAAGUAUGCAGCAGAAAAAAUGUAAUAGUCUUGUGCCACUUGUCUUUAUCUCAUAGGGUAGUUAAAUGAGUGGCUAGGAUUGAAUGAUGUAAUAAGGAAUAUUCCAUUCCUAACGGUUUUGUCAGAGCACAAUAUAUGCAUGUCAUAUUGGAGUUGAGCUAAUACAAUCUUAGCUAGCUUUCUUCUCCAAUCUCUCUCUCUCUGAAAUUCUCUCCUCUUUCAUCUAGCCUAUCUCUCUGCAUUUCUAUAAGCCUUAUUACACUGAUGAUUGAAUAAAUAUACAAGAUAAUGGUCUGUAUAUGUUAACAUCUGCAACUUGGCCUUCUAUCUUCUUUAAGUGUACAAACACUAUUAUAACCGCAUGGCCCUGUUCCGAGUUCUCCAGCUAUUUUCACACAAAUAUUAUCUGGUUCAGUGUGGAUGACACUCCAGCUUUCACUGGUUGUAGAAUUCUUCGGUUGGUAACUUAUGAUGAAAACCCCAUCAAAAUGGAGAGUUGCUCUGACAUAAUACCUCGUAUGUGAGAGUGCUUGUCCCGGUGUUGUAAUAAAAAAUCUCUCUCCACUUCUUCGCAAUAUGUACAAGUAGCCUGACUGAUCAAAGAUGACCUUGUAACAGGAAUUUGUAUCAUUUGCUUCGUCACGACUGCUGCUGAUAUAAUACGCGUCAUAAGCAUAUUUACCUGGAACAUUUAUGGGGUUGAGCACAGCAUCACCAUUACCAAGCAUCUAAAACUGGUAUCUUCCCCUUGAGAAGUUAGUUUCUGUUUGUCUAGAAUAAAGCAAGCCACCUAUCUCCAUUGUCUGAGUAGGUAAUGAUAGGAUUUUUAGUACUUGUGCAAACAGUGUUAAAAAUCACAUAAAAUACUUGCAAGAAUACAAGGCUAUUGUAGUAUAGAUGCUCAUGCAAGGUCGUUUUCCUCAAGGACUAAUUAGCAAUUUAUGUAAAAACAAAUUCCAAUUACUACUUAAAAUAAAAAGUCAAGAAAGAUGAUUAUAAAUUUGGUGGAUUCUAAAAAACAAAUAUUAAACAAAACCAAAUACGAUUGAGAGAAAGAGUUUUGAAUAUCAAUUUAUAAAAACACUAGGGUUUCACCAUCACCUAGCAAUCCUAUGAACUUUUACCAAUUACUUAUGAUUUGCACAUGCCACUUUGAAGGUUAGGUUUUCCUAAUGUAUAUUCUACUUGGAACCUCCAACACAGAACGUAUAUCCAACAUGCAACCCGUCCGGACGUUCGGAUCAAAUCUGAACAUGAAAGACUCAUUAAGUUUUGUGAAAACCCUUUGAAAAACCAUGCAACCUUUAAGACGUGGUGUUCAUCUUAAGUGAAAUUACAAUUAUUAAUCACAAGAAGCUAGCAUCAAUUUCAGGGAACCUUCCGACCAAAAUUGCAUCCAAUUACUUUUCUAAAGAUCCUAAUGGUGAUCAGGCAUUAAGACAAUUAGAUAGUUUAAAACAGUGAUUAACAAUUCAAGUAGGCAUGCACUCAUCAUAAGCAAUUAAAUAAAAAUCACAUAUUCAUGCUAAGGUUCAAGGCUUCACCCUAGCAAAAGAAAUUUAGUUACGCAUACUCAUAAUUGAAAUCCAAGAAAAUAUCAUUAAGAAGAAAAGAACGAAAACACCUGAAAGUUGUGAAAACCCAAAACCCUAGCAAUUGCUCUCCACAAUGCAAAGUUCAAAAGUGAAAAAAGAAGUCCUUGAUUCCUUGUGAGAAAGAGCUUAAAUACCCCUUAAAACCUAGCUGCCAAUGUACAGCUUUUCUAUCCCCACAAGGAAACUAAUUAAAGUAAAAUAAUACUAGGAAAUAAAGUCCAAAUUGGAAUAGGAGAAUUUGCCUAAAAUCUGCCCAGCCACGUUUUGGCCACAAAUCUCCUCCAAAUCUGGCCCAAGAUAGCUUGUUUUAAAGAUAAAAAUGUUCUGAACACUUCUCUAGAAGGCCACGAACCCAUCCGAGGUCAUCUUGGGCUCCAAAAACGCAAUAAAAGCCCAACACAUCACUAUUCCAGCACCGCGCACUGCUCCUUCAUUUUGUUGCCAGAAAAUAACCGCUUGGAAGAAAAAUCUGAAAUUUUGAUACGAUCAAGCUAAGUGACUCAAGAACGUCCUCCAACUGGAAUUACUCCAAAAUUCCUCAAUUUGAUUAUGUUUUGCUCCAGAGAGAGUCGAAAGUCCUAUAUUGGAAAUAUAAUUCAAAGUAUCAAAAUUCUUCCAAAAUAUUAACCAAAAUAUACUAAGAAUGAGGUUAAAUAUAUAAUAUAAAAUAUGUCCAUCAGGUAACAAGGUAUCAGUUGGAUGAUUGAAGGUCUCCCAAAUGACUCUAAAACUUGUAUCAACAAUCAUAAAGUUUCCCAUGUCGUUCAUUACACCGUAGGCUAUUGCAGCAGCUGGAAAUUCUGUCAAUAGUUGUUGAUCUCCUUGUGGGGGUCUCAGCAGAAGGCCUUGGUCGGUUAGCUCUACUUCUGAUUUUCUCAGAGAAGGGUUGCCUUCAUUUGCAUACCAAACUAUGGUUUUCUGAGGUAUCUUGUGACACCAUAUGGCAAGCAAGAAGUGAUCAUUGUCAAGUUUUUGAAACCCCAAUGCAAAAUCAUUGGAAGGUGAAAGCCACCAAGCAGACUCUUCACCUGCAGUGAGAGUACUACCCACACUAAUGUUACCAUUAGUUUGAGCAAUGACAGAGAAGGGCAGGAGCAGGAAGAGAAGGAAGAGAAGGAAGAGCAGAUGAGGGAGAACAAAAGCCAUUGCUUUCAUUUGUACUUUGGAUCUGUCCACUCACAAAUACAAAUUUAUAGAAGAAACAAAAUUAUUACAAUUGGAGAUUUUAGAAAAGUAAGGUCCAAGAAGACUAAGUAAAAGCUUAUGCAACAUAAGAGCAUUUCCACCAGUUAGCUCCUUGCCUUGGCAAGGGUAGUCCUAGGGCAGCUACUAUUCACGUGAAUAGUGGCUGCCCUAUCCCCCCUCAGCAAAGUGUGUUUCCAGCAGUUUAGGCUUGCCAUGGCAAAUACUAUUCAUUUUUUUGUUUUUUUUCACAACUUUGUUUACUUAAACAAUUAAUUUGGAUAAUAUUUUCGGAUAAGAUUUUUGGGUUCCUACGUGUCAAUACUAUUCAUAUCGGAUAAGAUUUUUGGUUUCAAAUUUCAGAUAAAUUUCAAAUUUCAGAUAUAUUUCAAAAUUCAAAUUUCAGAUAAAUUCAAAAUAUCAAAUUUCAGAUACAUUUCAAAUUUCAAAUUUCAGAUAAGAUUUUCAUCCUCUAAGAUUGCGCAACGUGUCAUAUCUAUCGGUCUAAAUUUUUCUAUAAAACCAGAGGUUCAGCUCAUACCUCCCACACCAGUUCUUCUCUACAUUUCCAUUUCUCAUAUUUUAGAUUUCAUUCUCCAUUCUCAAUGGUAGACAUGCAAGAGGUUUUGGAGAGGCAAGAGCUAGAAACUAGAGAAAUGGAGUGGCGUCUCGUUCAACACUACCGUCAGACCCGUUGGAAUAAUUUGGAAUCUCUUACAAUUCUUCACCACCUCCCAACAAUGGGUAUGGUUGAAACUUUUUUUGCCUUGCCCAGUAGCACCAAACCACAUUUGUGCUUGCAUAAUCUAUAAAAAAAAUUAAGUGGAAAUGCAAGAAACUUUAAAAAAUAUUGGCAAUGCAACAUGUAAAAAAAAACUAAUGCAAAUGCAAUAAAUUUUAAAAAAAUGCAACAUGUAUAAAAAAAAUACAAUAAAUAUUAACAAAAUAUAUAAAUUGCAAGAAACAUUUAAAUAAAAAUUAAUAUGACAUAGAAAUUAAUAGAACGAAAAUGACAAAUAAUUUACCUCACUGCUAAGGUUUUCCCCGCUUCUAUGGUUGUCCAUCACUUUUGCCAAGGCAUUUCUCCAUUUUGCCAACUCUUUAUUAAGAAUUUUCCACCUACUAGAUAAUGCUAUUUCUGUACGUGUCGAACCAAUUGCCCUUUCACAAAAUGCCUGAUGAAUUUUUUUUCCACAUAUGAGAAAAUUUAAUCUCAUUGCUCGUUACGGGACAAUGACUAACUUGGACCCAAGCCUCACACACGCUAACAUCUUCCAUCAUGCUCCAUGCCCCUCCAUUUUCACUAGAAGAACCCAUAAUAUGAUAGAGAAAAAUACAACUUGAAAGUGAAAAAAAUAUUGAGUAGAAAGUGAAUAAUAGUAGAAGGAGAAAAAAAUGUAAGAGGAUUUGGUGUUAAAAGUGAAGAGUAUUGGUUGGUAUUUAUACAAAAAAAAAAAAUUGCAGUAAUUUUUGUGUAUUUUUAAAAAUAUUUUUCAAUAUUUUUUAUUUUUUUAUUGCAGAAAAAUUGGUUGCCGUUGGAUUGAAGGAAAAAAUCGAAUCGGAGAGCCGCCAGGGCGACACGUGUAAGGUAGUCGUUGGCGGCUAUUGUAGCGUGUUGUUUCAAAUUUUUUUUAAUGUUGGCAAGUGCAAUGCACGCGCCAACGAUAAAAAAAAAAAAAAAUGAAAGCUGAAGGGCUGACGCCAGCCUAGCGUCAUCCAUGACGUCACCGCCCUCGGGCUCUUUCUCGGGCUAAACUCCACCUCGGGCCAGCCCAGUCUCAUGGCCCAGACCUCUUGCCCGGGCUGCCUUUUGUUGCUGAAAACCCAUUUUUCUGCCAAACCCCUCUCUCCCUCCCCCCGCCAGCCCGAGUCCAGCCUUAGCUGCUGGACUUGCUCUUUAGAAAGCAUGGUCAUUGUUUUCAUAAAGAAAGCAGUGAGGACAAAAAAGACAUGACCAUUGUUGUCAUAGGAAAAAAAAAAGCAAUGAAAUGAAAUUAUGAGAGAAAUAUAGCUGCAAUUUCAUUUGAUAAGACUGCAAGUGUCCAAUUUCAAUUUGAAAUUUUCUUAUUGGGACCACUACGAAGAAAAAGACUGCAUGAAUUAACUGGUUGAAUUUUGCAGUGGGAAUGGGUCAAGAAAGAGACCUAUAUAUUGACCCAAAAAAUCAGAGAGAAAUAGAAGAGGUAAUGUGGACUAAUCUUAAACUAUACUGAUUAAUCUGCAGGUAUCUUUCUUGUUCUUUUUCACAUCCCCAAAUAACAUAGGAUUUUUCAGGUAUAGAUAUCAUUAAGAGAAUUUUUUUAUACAAGCGAUAUUUGACUUUAAUCUAAUCUAAACUACAGGAAAGGUGAUUUGAACUCAUGUGCAGAGUGGGGAGUACAUCCGCUUUAGCCAACUUGGCUAGGCCCAUGUCUGCAUCAUUAAGAGACUUUUGAAUGCAUCUGCUUGCAGAGCCACAGGUUCUAACCAAAAAUAUGUGGGAGUUGUGUGCACAACACACAGACUCCAUAAACUUAAACGACAAAGUUAUCAUCUUCAUACCAAACUGAGAUUUAAUUUUGGAAACUAAAAAGAAGGAUCUUAUAAACAAUAAUUACAAGCGGAAACGACAUCAGAAGGCUGAUUUAAUACCUUAGGAGUCCUUGACUUGAUGUUAAUGGAAUUUGUGAACAAGUACUUACCAAUAGAAAGGACCACAAUCCACAACCAAUAAUGGCCUUGGUUUUUCAGAAACCAGUAAAAAUAAAUAGGCCACAAACUUCAUACUUAGAUUAAGCAAACACAUAGUUGCACUACGUUUUCUUAACAGAAUUUGUCCUUCACAACAAGAACAUUACUUACACAAAAAUUUACAUACACAAAGCCUUCUUUCUUAUCAGUAUGGCCAAAUUAAAGCGAUGCAAAACUACAAAUAAGUCCACUAAAAACGAUUGAUAAACAGAAAAUAAGCAACUUAGUACCGAAAAUGAUUUAAACCUGCGAUACAAAUGCGGAUGGGCAUGGUGGAACUUUUACUUCCACCACUCCUUCAAGCAUCUGAACAACCUUCUUCAUAUUCGGUCUAACAGAAGGGUCUUCUUGAAUACACCAAAUAGCAACCAUCACAAACUUUUCCAGUGUCGUUUUAUCACCCAAGGCCUGAACUUCAUAAUCUACAACAGCAUCUAAUUCUCCUUCAAGGUAGCAAUCGUAGACCCAGUCCGUUAAUAUUACUUUCUCUUCGCAGUUAUUUUCCACAUCAACGCUUCUCCUACAACAAAUGAUCUCAAGCAGCACAACACCAAAGCUGUACACAUCAACUUUGGUAGUGAUUGGCAUGUUCCUAAACCACUCAGGUGCAACAUACCCUUUUGUUCCUCUAAUGGCAGUAUGAGUCUUGCUCUGAUUCAUCAUCAAAAGCUUUGCCAAUCCAAAGUCAGAGAUUCGAGCAGUGUAAUAAUCGUCAAGCAGUAUGUUCUGAGGCUUUAUAUCACAAUGGAUAAUUUGAGUACCGCAGUCUUCAUGCGAGUACAGAAGUCCUCUGGAAACUCCAUAAGCAAUUUCAAUUCGUUGUCUCCAACUCGGUUUGAUAUCAGUAAAAAGGAAGCUUGCUAAUGUGCCCUUGCUUAAGAACUCGUAUACUAGCAAUCGAUGUUGCCCUUCGUCACAAUACCCAACCAGGCAAACUAGAUUCUUGUGAUGUGUCUUACCAAUUACUCGCAGUUCUGUCUUGAAUUCCUUCUCACCAUCUUGUAUCACACCGUUUAGCUUCUUCACUGCCACUUGGACACCAGAACCAAUUUGUAUUGUCCCUUUGUAAACAACUCCGAAGGUACCUCUUCCUAAUUCUUCUGUGAAUCCAUUUGUAGCUUCUUGAAGCUCUUGGUAACUAAAAGAAUGCAAAUUUGAGUCCAAAAUAUUUUCGACAGACCUUACAUGUUUCUUCCGGAAAACAAAGAAAAAUCCCCGACAAGCAGCAGCACUAAACAUAAAACUAACAAAGAUAGAGGCAGCCAGAAUUAUAGACUCCACGCAUAUCACAGUGUUACUGCUCUUCUUCUUCGUCUUCUUGUCAUCUGGAUUUGGCAUUGGAGGAAAUUGUAGAGUUGAAUUGUCCUUUCUGACUUUGAUGAAGGCUUGUGAAUUAAGAUUUACAUCCACUCUCCCAUUUGAGAGAGGUAACUUCUUUUUCCAACAGGUUUCAGACCGGAAAAUAGCAACAGCACACAAACAAUCUUGAAAGCAAGAUUCAUUGCACCUCUCUGCAGUAAAAGGAUAUACCUUUACAUAAUCUGAGGUUGGCCAAUCUGUAUUUGUUAGCACCUCAACAUCAUAUAAAUAUUUUGUGCCACUAAGCUCAUCUUCUUCACAGCCUUGUAUGAAAUCCGGUUUGCAUCCCCGGUAUGGAUCAUUUGGAUCAAGUAAAGAGAACCCUUUUGGGCAUCCACAGGUUGGCCUCUUAUCUUUGAGAGUGCAGAUACUGUUGUACCCACAAACACCAACACCUGAAUCUUCUCUAUUUCUUUGGCAAAUAUCAUCUGGCUCUGACCACCGAAGAGUCCAGCUCACAUUUCCAGUGAAAUUCUUGGGGUGAUAAUAUUGAGCAAAAAUCCCAUCAAAGUUGAGAGUUGCUCUAAUAUAGUUGUCCCUUGCUGAGACUACCUCUUCCCCUGCAAGAUUGUACUUUCCACCAUUCUCUCUCAGAACAUACAAGUAGCCUGAGACAUUGAAAACCAAUUCUUUACCUUCACUACCUGCCACAGUCCCUGAGGUAGUGUCGGUUGAAUAGUAAGGUUCAUUGGCAAAUUCUGUUGGCAAGUUUAUGGUGCUGAUUACAAGGUUCCCAUCUCCUUGCAGAAGCAGCUGGAACCGUCCUUUCAAAUAGUUAGUCUCCGAUUGUCGAGACGAAAGCGUCCCACUUCUUUCAAUUUUCUGUCCAGGCAACAAGGUAUCUGUAGGAUUGUUGAAGGUCUCCCAUAAGCUUUCUGAAUUUCUAUCUUGAAGAACAAAGUUGCCUGUAUCAUUCAUGACCCCAUUAGCAACAACACCAACACUGAUUUCAGAUUUCCAUAGCUCUUCACCUUGAGGACUUUUAAGCACUAGACCGCUGUUGGCAGUCAAGUUCACAGUUGACCCCUUGGGUGCAACUGCAGCCUCAUUAUCCCGAUCUGCAUACCAAACUAUGGUUCUGUCUGGUAUUUUGGCAUACCAUAUUGAGAGCAGGAAAAGACCAUUGCUUCCAAGUGGAAAAAAUCCAAAGGCAAAAUCACCAGAUGGAGAAAGCCAUGGUGAGGAGUUAGCUGCAGUUGCAGUUAGGGAAUCCCCCACUGCUAUGCUGCCGUUAGUUUGAGCAAACACAGAAACUGGUAGCAGAAACAGACAGGAAAACAGAAGCAGCCGUACAGUAAAAGCCAUUGCUAAUUUUCUAGCACCAAUGUGGUUAGGCAUACUACAAUAUCGUAGCCUAGCUAUUUUAUAAUGAAGAAUGGGACCAUGGCCCUUGCUUCCUUGAAAUUUCUUGCUAUAAAUGCGCGUGCCACAUCUUAAUGAAGCAUGAGACGUGCUCAUUUCUAGUUUGUGUAUACUAAUCUAUAUUAACCAUACACUACGACACGAACUUAAAGACCCUCGCUACCGGUCACACACAAAAAUUUCUCAAAUGACACAUUUUCUCCUUCUAACAGCUUAGUUUGAAAGGCAAAUAUGUCAUUCAAUAGCAAGAAUUUCUCACAAAAUAUUCUCUUGUUAUUUUAUUCUCAAAAUUUGUGUUCAUGAACCGUUUUAUAAUUCUACUAAUUAUGUUCGUAUGUGUACUUGGUAUGAUGUUACGUUGACCUUUCUGUUAUAUAUAUAUACACACACACACACAAAAAAAAAGCUUCAGUGGAGAAUUCCUCAAAUAAUAUUUGAGGGGCACAUUUGUAGGACACACCACAUAUUGUAUUUCAAUAAUCCAAAACUGUCUAGUUUUUAGAUAUUCUCUUUCAAAUAUCAUCUCCAAAAAAUAUUUUUUUUUUUCUGCUAAAAUUUUGCUUCUUGUCUUUGUUGUUGUACCUUUAUGAAUAUUUCUCUGUUGUGGUGGUAGAAAACAUUUAGGCCAUGUUUGGUAUGCUUCACUAUGCCUCACUGGACUGGAUUGGAUUAAACAAUACUUGAAACCCAUGUUUGGUAAGGGAGGGGAUUAUCUUAAAUGAGAUUAUAUAGUCCAAUAGUUAAAAAAAGCCCGGACUCACACAGCUAAUAUAGUGAGCCCAAAAUUGGGUUCGCAAAAUAGGACGCUCGCUAUUUUGAACACGCGAGUCCGACUUCCUUAUCGCUUGAAUCAAAACCCCACCACAGAUCCAAUCAAUGAAACCCAACGCUCAUCGCUCUACCCUGGAUUUCUUCUCAGAACGAUCUCUCUUUGCACCCCAGCAACUAGCAGAACCCAAAACCAUCUCUUUUCGCCAUCUGAGUCCAAUUCGUAGUAGUUCCAAAGAAAAAAAGAAAAGCAAAAAAUAAUGAAACCAGAAACAGAGAGAAGAAAGAAGGAAAAAGGAAGAAAAGAAAAGAAGAAAAAAAUAUGGGUCUGUGUAAUUAUGAUACUGCUCCUAUUUGGGUAGCUUCCUUACUUACUGAUGAUGUUUUGGGGAUGUCUAGAAUCCGCUUGAUUUGUGUUGAGUCGGCUUAGAUCGUUUUCAUUCGAACGCACCAUCCAUUGAGCGCAGACAAUGAAGACGGCAAUGCUGGAAAAAAUGGAGCCAUCUUGCUGUUGUUGCCAAAUUGCUCAUCUUGGAUUACAGGUUUUGAUGCGCUGCUUGGUGGAGACCACAAAAAAAUGAGGACGGGCUGGGAAGAGAACAGGAGAACAAGAAGAAAGGAAAGGGAAAAAAAAAAAAAGGACGGGCUGGGAAGGAAAGGUAGAAGAAAAGGAGAAAAAAGGAAAAAAUGAAGAAAGGAUAAGAUAGUUUGGCUUUUAAAAAAUAUUAAAAUUUAUUUGUUUUAUUAUUAUUUAUUUUAAGGUCAUCCUUAAUUAAAAGUAAAUAUUAGAAUUUUAUUUAUUUAUAAUUAAAAUUAAUUAUUAAAAUAAUUAUUUUUUACUCCGACACAACUCCAAACAUAGGUCUUCACUAUUUUCACAAUCCAGCUUCUUAGUCCGACGCAGCACCAAACAUAGGUCAGUACUUAAUCCAGCUUAGUCCAGUCCGAGCUAAUCCAAAACAGUUCCAGGAUUUAGUCCAGUCCAUGACAGUCCGCCGUACCAAACGACCCCUUACCUCUACUUCUCAUCUUUGUUGUAAAUUUUCCUUCUUUCCUCCCUUCUAGCUAAAAAUAUGGAAAGUUGUAUAGAUAGAAAGAAAAAAAAAAAAAGACGGAUACAGCUGGAAAGGAGUCAUAAAAGGGGUGCUGUCAAAUCUGAGCUUAGAGUUUGUGAGGGUAGGGGGGAAGUAGGACAGAAUUGGAAAAAGAUGGAAGAAAGACCCCAUCAAGUGAAGACUACAAAGUCUUCAAGUGGAUGAGAUUUUGAAUGUGAGAUAUUUAGGCUCAUUUGGUAAUGUUUUAAGGGGUUGUUUUUAUUUUUAGAUAACAAAAAUGAGGCAAAAACACGUUCGGUAGCCAAAAAACAGAAAACACGGAAAAUGAUGUGUACUUGUAGAAAACAGAAAAAAAUUGUUUUCAUUCUCAUGGGAAACGUUGUCAUAAAAUAAAUAAAAGUAAAAAAUAUCUUCUGCGUCCGUGUCUCUAUAUUCUUAGUCAUAUGUUCUUUGCCCCAGCUUACCUCUAACUAAAGUUUCUAGUCUCUGAUCUAUUAUGGUCAUGCCCAUAAAGUAAUCCAAGUUGGGCACGACAAAGAACACGACCCACGGACACGAAUUUUCCACCAUGGUUCCAAGGGCAGAACAGAGAAUACGACCUGCUAACACGAAUUUGCCACCCUAGCUCCAAGGACAUAAACAAAGAACAAGACCCGCUAACACGAAUUUACCACCCUAGCUCCAAGGACACAAACAAAGAACAUGAUCCACUGCCGCUGACACGAAUUUUCCACCAUGGUUCCAAGGGCACGACAAAGAACACGACCCGCUAACACGAAUUUGCCACCCUAGCUCCAAGGACACGACAAAGAACAUGACCCACUGACACGAAUUUUCCACCCUUCCAAGCCAAAAUAUGUAAUAAAUAUGAGCUUGUUAACCAUUUAAGUGUAGCAGUCAAAAUUCAAUAGUAAUAAAUAUGAGCGUUGCUACGUAACUCUAAUUUGAUUAUUUGAAGUUGAAGCCAAUUGCCAAUGAAAUCUACGACGCAAUGUUUCUUAACAAAAAUUUAUCAUUUCCAUUACAUAAAUAGAGCAUUCUUUCUUAACCCUCAACCCUAUCACCUUUGGUACUUUAUAUUUUUUUUCUUCUAACAUUAUUGGUCCUUUGUAUUUUUUAAAAAUAGUUUAACAUUUAAAAUCUUUUAGAAAAAAUUUAAUUGAAAAAGAUAAUUUUUUCAAAAAAUAAUUUUUUUUUAAAUUCAAAUCCACUUGGCAUGUUAUAAUUGGACAUAUAGGCUCUAUAUACAUGUUAUGUCAAAUUCGUUAUGUUAUGUUACAAUUUCUAUUAAAUUGAUGAAAAUUUCAACAGAACCUAACAGAUUUGACGUGACAUGUAUGUAGAGCCUACAUGUCCAAUAAUAACAUGCCAAGUGGAUUUGAAUUAUAAAAAAAAUAUUUUUGGAAUGUCUCUCUUUUUAAAAAAAAUUUAAAAAAAAAUUUAAAAUGUUAAACUAUUUUUUAAAGGGUUUAGAGUUUUUCAACAAAACAUAAUGGAUUUGACGCGACAUGUAUAUGGAGCCUACAUAUCCAUUAAUAACAUGCCAAGUGGAUUUGAAUAAAAAAUGUAUGUUUUGAAAAUUUUCUCUUGUUUAAAAAAAAUUUAAAAAAGAUUUUAAAUGUUAAACUAUUUAAAUGCUGCUAUUUUCACCCCCUUGUCCUAUUUUCCCAUCCACCUUAUUUUCUCACCCACUAUAUGAAUUUGGAAAAACACAAUCCUAUCUUCCACCAACCAUUAUCCUUAUGCUAGAGAGACCAUCUUUUUUGUACCACAAUUAUAUACCAUCAGACGUGGCAUGCCAAAUCAUUUAAUAUAGUUAUAUAUAUUUUAAAUUUUUAUUCUCCCCUAAUUAAAGCACAAAAGUCAUUAAAUAUAGCUAAAUCUAUUUUAUUAUCCCCUAAUGACAGCACAAUUACCGAUACCGAUAGGAGUCUUUCUAUCUUCACUCUGUCUUCUUCCUUCUCCCUACACUGUUUUCUCCACAACAAUUUUAUGAUUGCCGGAUUUUUCAUGGGUGUUAAACACAGAAUCAACCCCUUUCCUCAUGUUGGCUGCCAUUUUUGGUUCUUUGUCUCUUAUGGCCUGCAACUAGUGGUCAAUUUCGCAGUAAAAAAAAAAAAAAAAAACUAGUUGCUAAAAUGUGGUGGAAAAAGCAAUUAAUCUGAUAAAAACUUGGGAGAUUCACUAUAAUACCCAAUAUAUGAGCCCAAAUUAUAAAAAAACCUAUAUGAAAUGGACUUUAGAAACACACCCAAAGUCCAUUUACAACAUAACAAAAAGGUUUUUAACUUCUUUUAAAUUACAAAAUUGUCAUUGAUUUCUUAAAACAAACCCAACCCAAAAACCUCAAAAAAAAAAAAAAAAAAACCCAAAACACUUAAUGGGGCAUCAAAGUAAUUUAAUAAUUAAAAUUAAAUUCAAUAGGGCCAGCUGUUAUUUUUUGGGUAUGUUUAUAGAAAUUAAAUAGUGUAGGGUUUAUUUAUAGUUUUAGUGCUAAGAAUGGAUAUUUGACUAAAUAUUUCUAAAAACUUUAUAUCUUCAUGGACUCUCCCUCAAAAAUCUAACUAUACUGUUCUUGUAAAUCUGAAAUAAUAUAAUAUUUAGAAUCAAAACCCAACCACCUUUCCUUGGUGUAUGAAAUGGGUGAGAGGGAGGAGGAAGACGAGGAAAGAUUAAAAAUAAAUAAAUAAAUAAAUCUUAUGGGAUCAGUGCAUCAAUUAGGAGAGAAUGAAAAUUUAAAAUAUAUGUAAUUGUAUUAAAUGAUUUAGCAUGCCACAUCAUCUUCCACAUCAUAUGGUAUACAAUUGUGGUACAAAAAGAUGGUCUCCCUAGCAUUACCCUUCUCUUUAACCUUCUCCUUUGAACUUUCUCCCUUCUCCUUAUAUCAUGUGUCACUUUCUUUAUACUAAAAUAAUAUCAUUAAUGCAUAGCUUUUGUUUUUCAAAAUUACCCUUAUUAAAUAUAUUGACUUUCAUAUUACAUUUAAUUUAUCUAAAAUUUUUUAUAAAUGGAAAAAAUAAAAAUAGAAAUUAUUAAAAUAAUAUUUUGUUUUACCCACCAACCCCAGCCAUAGACGGGAGCAGAUCCGCUGUCCCCAAAUUGGUGUCCCCUUCAUGUCCUCUCUCUAAUUUGCUGACACGUGUCAAUUAACAUAACGGAGAGUUAACUCCGUUAAUUUUUUUAUUUGACAAUUUUAAAAAUUAAAAAAAUUAUAAACUGCCCAAAAUAACCCACCAGCCAGCGAGCGUCCUUUCUUGCUAAACCCAGAGCGUCGUCUUCCUUGGGGUCUUUUAUGUGUUUGGCUAUCUUUGAAGAAUUUGUGAAUUAAAUGGUUAAUUGGAGUUGAAUCUACUGCUGUUAUGACAUAGAGAUUUAGUUAUUUGGAGUUUAACGAUAUUCACGAGGUGAUGGUUGCUCUGUCGCCAACAACCUUCAAGAGGCAGAGGAGAGGACCCAUCACCUUGGAUGGUUUUGCUCAUGCUCUUCCACGGCUUCCCAUACCAACAAGCUUUGAUGCCGUCAAAAGCACCAGUUUAAUGACUCUGCCUCUUCUUCCGUACCCUCCUCCUCCUCCUCCUCCAUCAUUAGUUUCUGUUGUGACCAACCAAGCAAUGGUGCCAAUUGAGUUUGAGUUAAUUAAACCUUGUGAAGGAGAAGAGAAGCUGAUGGAUUUGAAAAUUGCGGCUGCAAUUCCAAAAGAAAAAGAUCUGCUCCAGCAACUACAAGGAAGUGCCCCUACCCCUACACCAAUCAAUGUCAUAGGGUCUGAAGAAGUUGAAUGCACAAUGUGUUUGACAAAAUGUUGCAGCGAGAUGUAUGCAUUUUGCCAGUUUAUUGACUUACUGAAGAUAAAUCUUUUUUCCCCUCAUGAGGGAAAGAAUGAAAUAUGCUUAAUUUAGGUCCUACCACUUAACAACGAGCAAUAUUCAGUUAUAAUUGAUUCCACAUAGUCGCUGGGUUUAGCAAGGAAGAUGACGUUCGCUGGGUUUAGCAAGGAAGACGACGUUUGCAGGGUUUUGCAAGGAAGACGACGCUGGGUUUGGGCAGUUUUUUAUUUUUUUAAUUUUUAAAAUUGUCAAAUAAAAAAAUUAACGGAGUUAACUUCCCGUUAUGUUAGUUGACACGUGUCAUCAAAUUAGAGAGGGGACAUGGAGGGGACACCAAUUUGGGGACAGCAGAUCCGCUCCCGCCAUGGACCCCAUUUCCAUCUCCCAAAAUAUAUUGCUUCUCUUGCCAGCCAUACCACUGUGUAACAUCUUCCUUCCGCCCUUGUGGCUGGGUUGUUUUUUCAAUGUUUUCAUAUUUCCUUCUUAAUGUUUUAAUUAUUAAUAUCCUAAAACUGAUUUUUAAAAUUUUUUAAAUUGCACUUUGUAUUUUUUUUAAGAACUGAGGGGGUAUUUUAUAUCAAUCAAAAUUUGAUAUGCUACCAAACGACAAAAGGCUUAUCCAUUAAUGUUUCGGAAUUUCAGAUUCUCAAAAUUUUGUGUUUGUUAAAUUAUUAGAUUUUUUUUAUUAUUAUUUUAAAUAACAUUUAUAAUUAUUUUUUAAUAGUAAUUCAAAAGAAAGUUAAUUCAUUCAAUAAGGGUAACUUUGGAAAACAAAGGCUAUGCAUUAAUGACAUUGUUUUAAGAGCAUGUUUACGUAUCAGUAAUGGAGAAAAUAAGGAAUCAGAGAAUUUAGGAAUAGGGGAACUACUGAAUCGGUAUGGGAAGAAUCAUUCACAUUAAGCUGUUUACUAAAUAUCUAGAAUUAGCAAAGGAAUGGGGUUGAUUCCCAUUGUUAUUGUUUACUAAUUUUCAUGAAUUAGAAUCGAAAUUAAUUUGAUUACUGAAAUGCCCUGCACAUUUUCACCACAGCACAUAUAUAAUUCUCAAACUGGCUAAAGAAACCAAACUAAUCCCGCAGCAAACUAGUAAGGCGGUGUAAGCAUGAGGACUCAAUAUGCUGAACAAGAUGAACAGUAAGAGCCCAGUUCAAUGAUAAUGUUAAUAACACCUUUGUCUAGAGUCAAUUUCUAACGAAAAAAUAAACUCCAAUAAAUAUAUAUAUUUCACCUACAUAACUAGUAAACAAUCAAAUAAUAAUAACCUGCAUAAUCUUCAUAUGAUUAAAUACAUAAUCUUCAUACUACCUAAAAAAAAGAAAGAUAUAAUCUCCAUAAAAGUCUUUAUCCAUGAUUGUAUUUUGUUUUGUGAUGAAUGUGAAGACAGAAGAUAGAAGAAGAAGAAGAAGAAGAUAGAUAGAUAGAUAGAUAGAAUGGCUUACAUAGCACAAGGCAUUGUUGCUGCUUCUGGGAGGUUGUGUCUGCAACGCUAACGUGAAAAAGAAGUUGGAGCGUCUUGGAACUUCUUGGUGUGAGUUUUUAUUUUUUUUAAAGGUUUAGGGUGUUUUGGAAGUAUGGUAAAGUGGUAAGAGUAUUUUUGGAAGUUAUUAAGAGUAAACAGGAAUGAGAAUCAUAUCGACUACUCCCCCCUAGUUGAUCUGAUACCUAGUUUUGAGGGGAUGUGAUUACGCAUUUUGAGGUGGGGCCUACUUAUUUUUUCAUUCCUGAUUGCAAGUAAACGCAGGCGAAGUCAAGAAUGGAAAUCAUUCACUUUCCUCCCAUACCCAUUACUGAUACGUAAACAUGCCUUAAGAGGAAAAUAAAAAAUAUAAAAAGGGGAACUAAUGUCGUUAAAAUUAUUUCUUGAGCAUGAAAUUGAAUGCGCUAGAUAAAUGGAAAAGCCAUGCCACCACUAGACUUGGACUAGGAUGGUUUAGAGGAUAAGAAAAAUGCAUACAAGGAUGUGAAGAAAAUUAUAAACAUGUAAGUGAAUAAAUUUUUCUUGAUCCAGAAGGAUGUAACAGAGCACACGCCAUUAAAGCUGUGUACAAUGUUUGCAGGAUAGCUCCAACCCAAUGACAUAUAUCGUUGGCAACAUGAUCUUGUUCGAAAAAGUCUUAUGUGAAUUUUUUACGGCUAUUUUUUCUUCUUCAAGAAACUAAAGAUUAACCAUCUCAGGGUGAUUUUAUAGUUUAGACAUGCUCUGGUGGGUUAGAAAGUUCUUCUCUUUCAGUUUUUGAGUUAGAGAAGAUAACAAGAGAGUGGAGAGAGAAAGUGCGAUUUUAGGGGAGACCAAUUUAUUUUCCAGAAAAAAGUCAAACAAUAGACAAAAAUAACAUUAAUUAUUAUUUUAUAAGUCGAUAAUAUAAACCGUUGAUAGUAGAUGAAUCUAAUGGUGUUAAAAGUGUGUUUUAUUGGUUGUGAAAAUAGAGCAUUCUUUCUUAUUAUCCCCAGUAUAUUAUGGCCAAAUAAAAGAGAUGCAUAUAUCUAAGAAGCGAAAACAGUGCAGAACCACAAACUAGUGUGAUCAUAGAAUCAAAUCCAAAAAAAAAGAACAAGAACAAGAUUGAAAAGCAGGAAAUAAGCUAGUACUGGCAGUAAAACCUUAGCUGCAAUGCAAUGCAAUACAAACAAAGUUGGUUUCAGCUUGUUCUGGGGGUAUAUGGAGAUGGACAUGGAGGAACAUGCACUUCCACCACGCCUUCAAGCAUCUGCACAACUUUCCUCAUAGUUGGUCUAAGAGACGGGUCAUCUUGAAUACACCAAAUAGCAAUCAUCACAAGCUUUUCCGGCUUCAUUCUAUCAUCUAAGGCCUGAACUUCAUUAUCUAGAACUAGAACAGCAUCUAACAUUCCUCCGCGGUAGCAAUCAUAGACCCAAUCCGUUAAAAUUGCUCUCUCCUCACGGCUAUUGUCCGCAUCAACGCUUCUCCUACAGCAAAUGAUCUCAAGCAGCACAACACCAAAGCUAUACACAUCAACUUUGGCAGUGAUUGGCAUGUUCCUGAACCACUCAGGGGCAACAUACCCUUUUGUUCCUCUAAUGGCAGUAUGAGUGUGGCUCUGAUUCAUCAUCAAAAGCUUUGCCAAUCCAAAAUCAGAGAUCCGAGCAGUGUAAUAAUCGUCAAGCAGUAUGUUCUGAGGCUUUAUAUCACAAUGGAUGACUUGGGUGCAGCACUCUUCAUGCAAGUACAAAAGUCCCUUGGCAACUCCACAAGCAAUUUCAAUUCGCUGCGUCCAACUGGGUUUUGUAUCAGCAAAAAGGAAGCUUGCUAACGUGCCCUUGCUUAAGAACUCGUAUACUAGCAAUCGAUGUUGCCCUUCGUCACAAUACCCAACCAGGCAAACUAGAUUCUUGUGAUGUGUCUUACCAAUUACUCGCAGUUCUGUCUUGAAUUCCUUCUCACCAUCUUGUAUCACACCGUUUAGCUUCUUCACUGCCACUUGGACACCGGAACCAAUUUGUAUUGUCCCUUUGUAGACAACUCCAAAGGCACCUCUUCCUAAUUCUUCUGUGAAUCCAUUUGUUGCUUCUCGAAGCACUUGGUAACUAAAAGAAUGCAAAUUUGAGUCCAAAAUAUUGUCGAUAGACCUUACAUGUUUCUUCCGGAAAACAAAGAAAAAUCCCGGACAAGCAGCAGCACUAAACAUAAAACUAACAAAGAUAGAGGCAGCCAGAAUUAUAGACUCCACGCGUAUCAAAGUGUUACUGCUCUUCUUCUUCGUCUUCUUGUCAUCUGGAUUUGGCAUUGGAGGAAAUUGUAGAGUUGAAUUAUCCUUUCUGACUUUGAUGAAGGCUUGUGAAUUAAGACUUACAUCCACUCUCCCAUUUGAGAGAGGUAACUUCUUUUUCCAACAGGUUUCAGACCGGAAAAUAGCAACAGCACACAAACAAUCUUUAAAGCAAGAUUCAUUGCACCUCUCUGCAGUAAAAGGCUUUAACUGCACAUAAUCUGAGGUUGGCCAAUCUGUAUUUGUUAGCACCUCAACAUCAUAUAAAUAUUUUGUGCCACUAAGCUCAUCUUCUUCACAGCCUUGUAUGAAAUCCGGUUUGCAUCCCCGGUAUGGAUUAUUUGGAUCAAGUAAAGAGAACCCUUUUGGGCAUCCACAGGUUGGCCUCUUAUCUCUUCUGAGAGUACAGAUACUGUUGUACCCACAAACACCAACACCUGAAUAUUCUCUGUUUCUUUGGCAAAUAUCAUCUGGCUCUGACCACAGAAUAGUCCAGCUUACAUUUCCAGUGAAAUUCUUGGGGUGAUAAUAUUGAGCAAAAAUCCCAUCAAAGGUGAGAGUUGCUCUAAUAUAGUUGUCCCUUGCUGAGACUGCCUUUCCCACUGCAAGAUUGUACUUUCCACCAUUCUCUCUCAGAACAUACAAGUAGCCUGAGACAUUGAAAACCAAUUCUUUACCUUCACUACCUGCCACAGUCCCUGUGUCGGUUGCAUAGUAAGGUUCAUUGGCAAAGUGUGUUACAAAGUUUAUGGUGUUGAUUACAAGGUUCCCAUCUGGUUGCAGAAACAGCUGGAACACUCCUUUCGAAUAGUUAGUCACCGAUUGUCGAGAAAAAAGCUUCCCACCUCUUUCAAGUGUCUGUCCAGGCAACAGGGUAUCAGUGGGAUUGUUGAAGGUCUCCCAUAAGCUUUCUGAGUUUAUAUCUUGAAGGACAAAGUUGCCUGUAUCAUUCAUGACCCCUUGGGCAACAAUACCAGCACCGGUUUCAGAUUUCCAUAGCUCGUCACCCUGAGGAUUUGUAAGCACUAGACCGCUGUCGUCGAUCAAAAACACAGUUGACCCCUCGGGUGCAACUGCAGCCCCAUUAUACCACACUAUGGUUCUGUCUGGUAUUUUGGCAUACCAUAUUGAGAGCAGGAAAAGAUCAUUCCUUCCAAGUGGCGAAAAUCCAAAGGCAAAAUCACCAGAUGGAGAAAGCCAUGAUGAGGAGCUAGCUGCAGUUGCAGUUAGGGAAUCCCCCACUGCUAUGCCACCGUUAGUUUGAGCAAACACAGAAACUGGUAGCAGAAACAGAGAGGAAAACAGAAGCAGCCGUACGGUAAAAGCCAUUGCUAAUUUUCUAGCACCAAUGUGUUUAGGCAUACUACAAUAUCAUAGCUAGCUAUAUUUCAUAAUGAAGAAUGGGACCGUGGCCCUUGCUUCCUUGAAAUUUCUUGCCACAUCUUAAUGAAGCAUGAGACGCGUUCAUUUCUAAUUUGUGUAUACUAGUCCAUGUUAACCAUCCACUACGGCACGCACAAAAAUUUCUAAGUGUAUCUGUCUACAUCGUAGUUUUUUGUUUUAUACUGUCAAAUGACGCAUUUUCUCCUUCUAACAGCUUAGUUUGAAAGGCAAAUAUGUCAUUCAACCGCAAAAAUUUAUCACAAAAAUUUAUUACAAUUGGAGAUUUUAGAAAAGUAAGGUCCAAGAAGACUAAGUAAAAGCUAGGGGUGGUUGCGGUUCGGUAACCGCGAAUUUUUACUCAAACCGCAAACCGACCGACUAUUUGCGGUUUGGUGAUUUUUGAAACCGCAAACCGACCGCGUUUUGCGGUUUACCGCAUUGCGGUAAACCGCAAAAAUGCGGUCGGUUACAGCGAAUUUGCGGUUUAAAACCGCAAAUUCUCAAGCAUUCACAAAAAUAUAAAUUUACAACCUAAAUAAAUAAAUACACAACCUCAAUUUCUCAAACAUAUAUAAAUUCACAAUCGAUUCCAAUUCUCAAGCAUUCACAACCUAAGAAAAUUAAAGUUACAAUUCCAAACAUUCCAAUUAAAGUUAAACUUCUCAAGCAUUCCAAUUUCAAAUCCUUUAAAGUUACAAACCAAAAGCAAAAUGAAUUAAAGUUACAACCAAAAAGAAAAAUCCAAUUCAAAGUUAAUUAAAGUUACAAACUAAAAGGAAAAAUGCAAUACACCAAUGUUACAAACUCAAGUGUUGGUGGUGAGUGGAUUUGAAGAACCCCUUUGUGUUGUUUGAGCACCAAUGCUAUCUACAAAUAAAACAACAUAGUUUAGUACAUUUUAUUAUAAGAAGAAGCAUAAAUAACAUUAGCAUAAAUAAACUAAUUACUUACAAGUUGUCAUAUCUUCCAUUUCCUUGUAGAAUUCAACCUCAUCAUCCGUUGGUUCCUUGUAAAAGGAAAAUUCGUCCGCUCUAAGCCAAUCACUAGUACACACUAAUGCCUCUACCAUUUUAGGAUGCAAAGAGCUUCUAAAAGGAUCCACAAUCCUCUUGCCUAGGCUAAAAGCAUUUUCACUAGCAACCGUAGAACUUGGAAUUGCAAAGAUAUCCUUGGCAACUUGUGAAAGAAUAGGAUAUCUUGUUUGGUUCCCUCACGGCUACAGAGAGAGAAGAGAAGGGUUUACAAUUUUACUUAAUUAUUCAUAGAGUAUAGCCAUGCGGCUAUACUUUGCGGUUUGCGGUAACCGCAAAUUUUGAAAAUCAAAUACCGCAACCGCAACCGCAAAUGCGGUUCGGUUCUUAAUACCGCGAUUGCGGUUCGGUUUACCGCGAUUGCGGUUUUAUUGCGGUAAAAUAUCGGUUGGUUUUUGCAGUUUUUCGGUUUUUCGGUUUAAAAUGCCACCCCUAGUAAAAGCUUAUGCAACAUAAAGAAAGCAUGGUCAUUGUUUUCAUAAAGAAAGCAGUGAGGACAAAAAAGACAUGACCAUUGUUGUCAUAGGAAAAAAAAAAAAGCAAUGAAAUGAAAUUAUGAGAGAAAUAUAGCUGCAAUUUCAUUUGAUGAGACUGCAAGUGUCCAAUUUCAAUUUGAAAAUUUCUUAGUGGGACCACUACGAAGAAAAAGACUGGUUGAAUUUUGCAGUGGGAAUGGGUCAAGAAAGAGACCUAUUGACCCAAAAAAUCAGAGAGAAAUAGAGGACGUAAUAGAGGAGGUAAUGUGGACCACUGGGGUUCGAACAACUUAAACUCAACGCACACUGGGGUUCGAACCCCUCUCAACUCCAAAUUUUUGCAGCCACUUAACCACUACGCUGUUGAUGACUUUGUGAUUAUAAACUACGGAAUCUAGUAUAUAUAAUACUUGCAAGAAUUUCAAAAAUCUUGAACUUUUAAAAAUUAAACAACUUAAACUCAACGCACACUGGGGUUCGAACCCCUCUCAACUCCGAAUUUUUGCAACCACUUAACCACACACUGCUGAUGACUUUGUGAUUAUAAACUAUGGAGUAUAGUAUACAUAAUACUUGAGAGACUUUCACAAAUGAAACAAUUUAAACUCACUCACGCUCUCGCACACAAUGGGGUUUGAACCCCUCUCCACUCCGAAAUUUGCAGCCACUUCACCACCACGUUGCUAAUAACUUUGUGAUUAUAAACUAUGGAAUCUAGUAUAUAUAAUACUUGCGACACUUUCAAAAAUUAAACAAUUUAAACUCACUCACGCUCUCGCACACAAUUGGGUUCAAACCUCUCUCCACUCCGGAAUUUGCAGCCAUUUCACCACCACGCUGCUCAUAACUUUGUGAUUAUAAACUAUGGAAUCUAGUAUAUAUAAUACUUGCAAGACUUUCAAAAAUUAAACAAUUUAAACUCACUCAUGCUCUCGCACACAAUGGGGUUUGUACCCCUCUUCACUCUGGAAUUUACAGCCGCUUCACCACCACGCUGCUCAUAACUUUGUGAUCAUAAACUAUGGAAUCUAGUAUAUAUAAUACUUGCGAGCUGCUUUUCAAGUUUCAACUUUUCAUAGGAACUCUAUGUGGUACUAAGUCACUUAUGUAUCUUACCAUGCAAUGUAUAAAAUGUAAAAUAUUGUAGUAAAUCAUUAUAUAUAAAUGAUUGUGGUGUGUUUAAUCAUUUUCCAUUAAUUACUACAUAUUUUCUACACUCACGGUGUUUGUCAGCUCGCUAUAUAAUCAAAUUAAAUUAGUUAAAUCCAUCAUGCAAUGCAUUUCCUUCCAAUUUUUUGUGAUAAACUAAUAGAUAAUUGACUAAAUAAGCAUCCUCCAAAGUUUCAAUAAAAAUGUCCAAGUUUUUCUUACAAUUUUCGUGGUUUUUAGUCAAUUUUUAUCGAUAUCGAUAAUAUCCCGAUAUUUCCAUCGAAAUUUUCGUGUUUUUGGACUACCGAUAUUUCCGAUAUCACCGAUAUUUUAGACCUUGAUGUGGACUAAUCUUAAACUAUACUGAUUAAACUGCAGGUAUCUUUCUUGUUCUUUUUCACAUCCCCAAAUAACAAAGGAUUUUCAAGUAGAGAUAUCAUUAAGAGAAUUUUUUUAUACAAGCGAUAUUUGACUUUAAUCUAAUCUAAACUACAGGAAAAGUGAUAAGUGUAUUAUUUCCUAUAUUUUUAUACCUUUUAUAUAUAUCGGUUUUGUAGGGAAAGUUAAUUAAAAAGAGUAUUAUUACUUUACUUUCCUUAUUUUCAGCUAUUCUGCACUCUUGGAAGGAUUUCAACUGAAAGUCAACUUUUCGAAUGAAUUUUAGUGCAAGGCCAAUUGUAGAAGAAAGCUAAGACAUUGAAGAUCGUUGUAUCAAAGUUUCAUAAUUUUCUACCAAGCCAAAUGCACCAGACCUGCAAGUCAAGACAGCCUAAGUUGAAAUCCCGUUAGAACUGCACUGCUGUGGAAGAUUGAAGAUUUGAAUAGCUUUCCGAUUUUUCCUAGUGGCGUGUGAUAUAUGCUUGGAAAGCUUAGAGAUAAAGCUACGUUUCUCAUAUUUUUCCAGAAUUUUAUAGGAAGUGGAAUGACCCAAAACAUGCAUGCAAGUUGGCUGACGUGUUUCCUAGUCAAAGAAGGAUUCUUUCCUAGUUUGUUUCCUUAAUUGUUUGAGAUUUUGUUUUGCUUUAGGAGAGUUUCUCUAGACCUUUUUAGAGUAGGGUUUAGUUAUUUUACACUGUAUAAGGUCACCCUAAGGAUCUCUUCAGAGGAUCAUAUUUCCUAUCAUCUUCCCAUAUACAACUUUCAUACACCAACAAAUAUAUCAGAGAGAGAGCCAAGAAUUUGUUGUCGCUGUGUUGCUGUGGAGAAUCCAGAGAUCAAUUCCAUCUGCCAAAUCAGUUUUAUGACAACAAUUUUCUUGUUUAUCUUUUCUUUUGUCAUGAACUAAUUUUCCUUGCUAGGGCUACGAUGUAGCCUAACCAUGAAUACUUAAUUUUUAUAGUUAUAUUAAUUUUUCAUUACUAUUCCAUGUUGAGUAUUUGUUAUUGUUCUUAAUGCUUUGAAUAUCUGGCCAAUAUUUAAUUGAUUUGAUGAUCCAAGCGGAGACCGAGAUGAGAUGUUUGGUGUUUGCAUCUUAUAACAGAUACCAUGUCUUGAAUGAGUGCCCGAGAGGGACUAACAUGACUCAUGCAGUUUUCUUGUAGGUUCUCAUAGAACUUAAUGGGUUCUUGAUUUUCUAAAUCCAUUGCUCGAGAGAGAAUGGGUUGUUAAUUAAGAAUACAUUUGGUUGAGCCCGAAAGGGGAUAUUGAAUGAAUUAGGAGAAACCAACUGUCAACAUGGGUAGUAAUUAGGGUUAAUUGGCUAUAAGAAUUAAGUGGAAUUGGUUAUGUGAAAUCAGAUGCUCUAGUGUCUCAUCAUCUUGAUUUUCCAACAUUAAUUAAAGUGCUAUUUUUCAUAAUUGUUUUAGCUUACUUAAAUCAAUCAAUCUUCUUAAUCAACUGUUCAAAUAAAUUCUAAAUUAAUCAUAAUUAGUAGUUAAUAGGAAAUUGCAAUCUUUGUGAGAACGACACUCUACUUAUUUCUAUAUUACUUGUAUGAAUUGUGCGCUUGCAAUAAUUUCACAACAAGUUUUUGGCGCCGUUGCUGGGGACUGUUUUAUUUUCUAUUAAUAUCAAUAUAUUUUAAUUCGGAGUUUAAUUUGAAUUUAUUUUAUUUUUUAUUUUCAGGUACGUUGAAUUUUUCCGACACUGCCACCUAUGGCGGACGAAGCAGAAGGAGCAGUGAGGGAAUUUGGCCCCUCAGUGGCAACUCCCUCAGCGAUCCGACGUCCUACUAUUGCAGCCAACAAUUUUGAUAUCAAACCAGCCAUGAUCACCAUGCUGCAGAAUUCAUCCGUAUUUUGUGGUUUGCCGAAUGAAGAUCCCAAUAUACAUCUUGCGAUAUUUUUGGAGAUUUGUGACACGUCCAAAUUCAACGGGGUACCUGACGAUGCGAUUCGUUUAAGGCUAUUCCCCUUCUCCUUGAAAGAUAAAGUCAAACUUUGGUUACUGUCACAGCGACAAGACUCCAUCCGUACUUGGGAUGAUUUAUCUAAGAAAUUCCUGGCUAAAUUUUUCCCACCAGCCAAAACUGCAAAAUUCCGACGAGAUAUUAUGUCAUUCGCUCAAUAUGAAAAGGAGCCUCUAUAUGAAGCCUGGGAACGAUUCAAAGAUUUAUUGCGCAAGUGUCCUCACCAUGAGCUACCAACCUGGAUUCAAGUUCAAACUUUCUACAAUGGGUUGAGUCAAACAAGCAGGACAUUAGUUGAUGCAGCUGCUGGAGAGGCUUUAAUGGCAAAAACGGCUACCGAAGCAUUUGAAUUAUUGGAGACCAUGCCAUCCAACAACUACCAAUGGCCGAGUGAAAGAAUGAAUCCGAAACCAGCAGGGUCUUGGAAGUCGAUGCCAUGGCCUUGCUAACAGCACAAAUUUCUAACCUUACUAAAAAAGUUGAUUCUUUAAGUGUUAAUGCUAUAAACACUAAUACUAAUUUUGGUUGUGAAUUUUGUGCAGGCCCUCAUCCAAGUUCAGAGUGCACCACAAGGAACCCAUUCGCGUCCGUUGAGCAAGUAAAUCAAGUUGUAGAAUUUAAUCGACAAAGGAAUGAUCCUUAUUCCAACAUGUACAACCCCGGUUGGCAAAACCAUCCAAAUUUUUCAUGGAGCAAUACUCAGAAUGUGCAGAGAUCACCACCUGGCUUUCUGGUUCAAGAAAAGAAAAUAAAUUUGGAAGAUGCGCUUACCCAGUUGACUAUGUCUACCACCCAAUUUAUGACGGAAACAAAAAUCCAGUUUCAGAAUCAAAGCGUUUCUAUUCGAAAUUUGGAGAUGCAAGUAGGCCAACUAGCUAAUGUAUUGAGUGGAAGAAAUCAAGGAGUAUUGCCAAGCCAACCCGUAAUUAAUCUGAAAAAUCAAGAACAAGUAAUGGCAAUCACAAUUCGGGAAAAGAAGCAAGUAAAUACAGCGGUCAACUUGAAAAAGAAAAAUUAGAAAAAGAGAAAGAAGCUGAGAAAUCCCAAGAAGAAGAAAAUUAUGUUGUUAUGCCGACUCAUUCUCCUCCAUUGAAGCCAUAUGUCCCACCGAUCCCUUUUCCGCUGAGGCUGAAGAAAAAUAAAAUUGAUAAGCAAUCUUCUAAUUUCUUGGAGACGUUCAAAAAGGUGCAAAUCAACAUUCCAUUCGCUUCAGCUUUGGAACAAAUGCCAAGUUCUGAAAAAUUCAUGAAAGACAUCCUCUCGAAGAAAAGGAAAUUUGGUGAUCAUGAGAAAAUCCAACUGACUGAGGAAUGUAGUGCCAUCCUACAACAAAAGCUUCCACCAAAGAAAAAAGAUAGAGGGAGUUUUAAAAUUCCAUGCACUAUUGGAAAUAAUUUCUUUGAAAAAGUUUUAUGUGAUUUAGGUUCUAGCAUUAAUUUACUACCUUUAUAUGUUGCUAAAAAGAUUGGUAUUAGUGAAAUUAAACCAACUACUGUCUCUUUGCAAAUGGCGGACAAAUCAAUCACUUAUCUUGAUGGAAUUAUUGAAGAUGUUCUAGUAAAAGUUGAUACACUCAUAUUUCCGACUGAUUUUCUGGUUUUGGAUAUGGAAGAAGAUCCUGAAACACAAUUAAUUUUGAGCCGUCCAUUCCUGAUUACUGGACGAACUCUGAUUGACGUGGAAGAAGGGCUACUAACUGUCAGAGUUGUGAAUGAAAAAGCGACAUUCAAAGUUUUUGAACCGAUAACAUUUCACGGAAAAGCAAAGGAAAAUGAGACUCUGAGCCAUCCAUCUCCAAAGUUGACAAACCAAGGGUUCCCGGAUCUACCUUGUACUUGUAUGAACUAAAACCAUAUGACCCAGGAAGGAAUGAAUUAGAGGAACUUCAAAAUAAAUCAUACGAGAGUGCGAGACUUUUCAAGGACCAUACAAAGAAGGGGCAUGACAAGCAUAUUAAGAAUGACCACUACUACAAAAAAGCAAAAAGACGACGGUAAAUCACCGUCGUGUAUUGAGUUUUUCAAUGGUCGUGGAAUCCACCGUCAUCUUUUCUCUCAUAAACCACGACGCUAAAUAACCGUCGUUGUUAAAAUAUACAACGUCAUCAACAAAUACAAAACGACGUCUUUGUACUGCAAAAAGAUCUAAAAAAAGCAAUCGAGGAUGAUAAUAGACGACCAACUCUCUAAAAAACACGUCGUUAAAAAGGAAAAAUAUGACACAUAUUAAGAGAACAAGGCCGCAAGAUAGACAUACAACGACGAAAAUAAAAAUACGACGACGUUAAAUAUAAUUUUCACGACAAAUAGUUGUCAGUGUCAUUAUUUACGACAAAUGUGUUUAUAGAUUAGACGUUGAAAAACUAAACAACGUCGGUUCCAAAUAUAUGAGAGUCGUAUUACAAAAUUUAUACGUCCUAUUUUCAGAAACAAACAACGACGACAAAUAUUAGACGUUGUUAAAUAAAACCACGUCGGAAAAAAAUAAAAACAGACGUGUUUAGUCUGCUAAAGUUCUAGAAAAUAGUCGAGGAUGAGAAUAGAUGACCUACUCAAAAAAAUCACCGUCGUUAAAAAGGAAAAAUAUGACACAUAUUAAAAGAACAAGGCAGCAAGAUAUACAUACAACGACGAUAACUAAAAUACUAUGCCGUUAAAUAUAAUUUACACGACAAGAAAAAAUAUGACGUCUUUAAAUACAUGAGAAGACGACGUUAUUGAAAUCUACUACGUCUCUUAUUUACAAAAAACCGUCGUGAAAUAAAUUUUCCACUUCGAUUUUUCUAAAAAAGAUGACGUGGAAAUAGUUGUCAGAGUCAUUAUUUACGACGUACACAUUUAUAUAGUCGACGUUGUAUUUAUAUCUAUCAUCAUCACUCACGACGCACUUAAUAAUAUAGACGACGUUGAACUUCUAAACAACGUCGGUUCCAAAUAAAUGAGCGCCGUAUUACAGGACAUAUAGACGGCGUUGAUUAUGAUGAGAGCCGUAUUACAAAUAACGUCGUUUAAUUGUUAUUAGACGGCGGUUAUAAUGAAUUUCCGUCGGAAUUCAUUUCGUUCCUCUUCGUUUAUAAAAGAACUUGCGACGUGGAAAAUGUAUGAUGACGUCGUAUUUUUUAACGUUCAGAUUAUAUAUCUCAUUUUUUAGACGUCGGUAUUAUGGGAUUGGAGUCGUGUUAUUUUGAAUUACAUGGCGGUUCUUAAUCCUUCCCCGACGUGAUAUCCUGAAUAAUUGCUUCACAAUAGCGUCGUGGUUCUUCAUUGUUACGUUGCUUUAAGACGUCGGUAAAUAUGCUGAAUAACUGGUUCACAAUAACGUCGUGUUUUAUUUGAACGUAGAAAGUGAAGAAAUCACAUUACAAUAUAUUACAAAAUUAAUGUCAUACACUGCCAAUUACAUAAGCAUCAUUCAAUCCAUAUAUCUUCACACCCAUCUCGAAUAUUUUGACCGCCUAACUCACCCACCAGUUCAUCAAAUGUGUCAACAUUUGGCAUCCCUCUAGUAAAUGGCUCACACUCAAUUAUCACAUCACCUAAGACUUCAUUACCAAUAACAUCAUUAUAUUCUCUAUUAGGCAUUGAUAACACUACCGACCAACCACGAUGCAUCGGGUCGUCAACAAAAAAUAUUUGUUUGACUUGAGAAGCCAAAACAAAUUGGUCAUUCCUAUGUCCAAUUUUACUCAAAUCUACAAGGGUAAAUCCAAGUUCGUCGACUACAAGACCAGAACUAUCUAUCCAAUCACACCUAAAGACUGGGAUUGUAAACUUUUGGUAGUCAAGGUCCCAAAUUUCUUGAAUGACACCAUAGAAACCCAUAUUUGAGAGAAUUGGGUUUUUAUCCUAGGCACUAGCAACUUGCAUGGUAUGUGCAAGUAAAUAAACUCCACUAUUUUGAGUUGUCCGCACAUCAUCUUGUGCCUUGAUAUUGAAUUUAAUACCUUUAAUAAGAUAGCUCCUAUAUAAUGGCACUGACAUGUUUGGACCAGCUGCUAGCCACCUUAAAUUUUCUGAUACGCCAUGAUUGUCUUCCUCAAGUUCACUUUGAACCUGCAAAUUAAUCAUAUCUUAAUUCAAUCUAACAUAUAAAUAAGAAGAAAAUUAAAAGAGAAAUAUGUUAUUCAACAACAUAUACCUUGAAGCGUAGCCAUUGAAUGAAAGUGCUAUUGUGCUUAUCCUGCAGCCACUUUGUUCUCUUUCUAAAUUUUGGAUAAGCAAUCUUGAUGUGGAUCAUAUGUUGCCUACAUGACACGAAAAAUUCAAGCAUUACGGUCCCAAAUAUAGAAGAUAAACAUAAGAAAUAAUUUAAAAUGGAAACUUAAAGAAUAAAGCUCAUACGUACUCGAUAUAAGGUAGGACUUCCUCCGUAUUCUCCAAGACAUAUAGAUGUGCUUGAUUCAACAGGUCCUGAUCAACUACGCUCAUUGUGCAACCUGAUAAUGGCUUUGAAAGUCCCAUCUUUUGGCUUGAAGGCACUCCAACUGUACUAACAUCAGAUAAAUGCUGAGUACAAAACUCUACCGCUUCUUCAGCUAUAUACCGCUCAGCAAUGCAACAUUCGGGACGAGUACGAUUCUGAACAUACCCCUUCAGCACUUUCAUAUAUCUUUCAAACGAAUACAUCCACCUAAAAUAUACUGGCCCACAUAGACGAACUUCUCUGACAAGAUGUACUACUAGAUGAACCAUGAUAUCAAAGAAUGAAGGGGGAAAGUACUUCUCAAGCAAACACAGAGUAACUACUACAUCUUCUUCCAACUUAUCUAGCUUGGAAACAUCAACAGUCUUUGCACAUAUAGCAUUGAAGAAGAAGCACAAACGAGCUAUUGCAUACCUUGCAGGCUUCUCCAAAACAGAACGAAUUGCCACAGGAAGCAAUUGUUGCAUUAAGGUAUGACAAUCAUGUGAUUUAAGGCCAAGAAGUCUUGAAUCUUGUAAAGAUACAAGAUUUUUAAUAUUUGAAGAAUAACCUUCAGGGACCUUCAUACCAUAGAAUGAAUUGCAAACCUCUUUCUUCUCUGCUCUUGACAAAUUCCAAGGCCCAGGAGGCAAACGAGUACGUCUUUCUCCAUACUCGGGUUGCAAAUCAGUUUUGACCCCCAUGUUCAAUAAAUCUAAUCGAGCAGCAAUCCCAUCUUUAUUUUUUCCAGGGAUCUCCAGCAAUGUACCAAUGAUACUAUCGCAAACAUUCUUCUCAAUGUGCAUAACAUCUAGGGCAUGCCUCACAGGAAGGUAUUUCCAAUACUCGAGAUCAAAGAAUAUUGAUUUCUUCUUCCAACAAACUCUGUCACCAUUUUCAACCAUAUGCAGCACUUCUUCUCCGGUUAAUGGCUCGGGAGGUAUGCCAUAUUCAGGUUUCCCAUUAAAACCUGCACGUUGCCUCCUAUAUGGAUGAUUGAUUGGUAACCAUUUUCUAUGCCCAAUGUAACAAAUUUUGUGGCCAUUUUUCAACCUGUGACUAGGUGUAUCAUCGCCGCAUAUUGGACAAGCUUUAUAUCCUUUAACAACACAACCAGAUAAGUUUCCAUAGGCGGGGAAAUCAUUAAUUGUCCACAUUAAUGCAGCUCUGAGUGUAAAGUAUUCUCCAUUAUGUGCAUCAUACACUCCUCUAAUCCCAACCCACAAGGAUUUUAAAUCAUCAAUCAAAGGCUCCAAGUAAACGUCUAUAUCAUUUCUGGGUUGUUUAGGACCGGAAAUCAAUAAGGUUAACAUCAUGAACUUUCGUUUCAUGCACAGCCAUGGAGGGAGAUUAUAUGUAACUAAGAUAACCGGCCAACAACUAUAUCUGCUACUUAGAGAACUGUGGGGAUUGAAUCCAUCAGAUGAAAGAGCCAAUCUCAAGUUUCUCGGCUCAUUACCAAACUCAGGCCAUUUAUCAUCAAGAAGUUUCCAAGACGGGGAAUCCGCCGGAUGAGACAUCUGACCGUCAAUUGAUUUUCUAGCAGCAUGCCACCAAGUCAAACUCUUAGCUGUCUCAUGUGAUUGAAACAUCCUUUUAAACCUUGGAAUUGGGGGAAAAUACCACACCACCUUCGCUGGCACACCCUCUUUCAAGAUUGAAUCUUUGCCUUCCUUCCACCUUGAGAUACCACAAGUAGGACAAUUAGUUGAAUCCUCAUACUCCUUCCUAUACAAGAUGCAAUCAUUGGGGCAUGCGUGCAUUUUCUCAUAACUCAGCCCCAAUGCACACAAAGUCUUUUUAGCCUCAUACAUGGAGGUUGGUAUUGUAUUUCCUUCUGGAAGCAAAUCGCCUUGAAGUAUCAAUAAUUCUGUAAAACAGACAUCACUCAUCCCAUGUUUUGCCUUCAAAUUAUACAACUUCACUAAUGCCGAUAACUUCGUGUACUUUCUACAACCAGGGUACACUGGUUGAUCUCCAUCCCCAAUCACAUUGGCAAACUCAUACGGUUCCGAACCAAAAUCACCAAAACCAUUAUCAUCCAUAUCAAUUUCUUCAGACACAAAACUGUACCUACUAUGGCCAUCAUCUUCUUCAACAUUUCUACUAGCAUUAGUAGUUACUUCCCAAGGUUCUCCGUGAAAUGUCCAAUUCUUAUAGCUUUGGUCAAUUCCAUUAAAGUAUAAGUGAUCCCUUAUAAUUCCAACCCCAAACAACUUCAAAUUAACACAUUUAACACAUGGACAACGGAUAUGUGUUGUAGUUAGAAGAUUUUCUACAGCAAAGUUCAAAAAUGCUUCCACCCCAAAUUCAUAUGCCUUCGAUCUUCUAUCCGAGUGCAUCCAUGACUUAUCCAUCUCCGACACUAUAACCUAUUAUCUAUAAUAAAGUGAAAAUACAGGCAAUGACCAUCACUAUAGCAGAUUAUACAAUGAUCUAAUCGCAAGUAAUACACAACAGAGACGACGGGUUUUAAACAAAAACAGACGUAUUUGGCAUAUAUAGACGACGUAUUUUCAACAGACGUCGUCUAUUAUAAGUAAUACAACGACGGUUUAUGAAAAAACCGUCGUGUAUAAGUAAUACAACGACGGUAGUUUAAAAAAACCGUCGUGUAAUCGUCGUCGUACGCCUUAAAAUUCGUCGUGCCUCAGUUUAUUUUCAAGAACACAAAACCCAUUAAGAACACAACAUAUAUAUGAAACCAAGCAAGAAACCAACAUAUACAUGAAACCAAGCAUGAAAACAAUAAAUCCAUUCCCAAUUCAACAUAACAUAGGGUGAUUAAAAGAUACGACAAAAUUAAAUCCAUUCCCAAUUCAACAUAACACAUAAUGUAAUCCAUGAACCCAUUAAACAGAAAAUCCAUGAACCCAUACCUAUAAGCACAUUAUUAACAGAUCGCAAAGCAUACACAUAAAACCCUUUAACAAAACAACCUAAUAUCAUUCAAUGAAUUUACAAGGGGAAGAUAGGGUUUGUACUUACAGGUUGGACGAGCUCACAGAUUCGACGGAGCCUGGAGAGUGCAACUUUUAAUUAGAGCAGAAGUGAGAGAGCGAAAUGUUAUGUCGCGCGAAAUCUGAAAAUUUUAGGUUUCAGGGUUCGAAGUAUAAGAAUAAGAGCCAAAUCUAAAAAAUUUAGGUCGCGCGAAAAUUUUUAGAGUUCGUGCGUUUUAAAACGUCGAAAGAAAAACCAAGGCGAAAGUUCUACACGUACCGACGUAAAUUUAAUAUUCCACGACGGAAACUUCAUUUUUCGGAUUAAGAACGUAAGGCCGUUAUUUUGAAGCUUCAUUUUUCGGAUUAAUUUUAAAUUUAUUUUGAAUUUUUUAUAUAACGACGACUGAAAAACCACGUCGGUGUUAAGAAAUUAAAGACGUUGUAAAUUAUAUAAACCGACUUACAUAUUAAAAUGACGUCGUUUAAAGCGUAAACCAUGUCGUAUGUUUUUCUGUACGACGUAAAAUAUGUAUUCCACGACGUAACCACCGUCGUUAAAAAUUAAUACCCUAAACCCAUAAAACUAAAUUAUACAAUUUAAAAAAUUAAGUUUAUAAAAGGUUUUAUGGUUUUAAAGCCUAACAUAUACCCUAGACUACCCAAAAAUUAUACUUUAAAAAUAAACCCCAAUAAAUAACAACCCUAAUCUCUAAACCCUAGACUCUAAACCCUAAACCAUAAAACUAGAAGUGAUUUUAUGACUCAUCAAAACAAUUUUGUUUUGGAUGGUCAUUUUAAAUUUUUGUUAUUCAAAAUGAAUUUUUUCAAGGUUUAUGUGGAAGAAAAUAUAUCAAUGACUUCAUAGGAGUUGACUUUUCAAUUUUCUGAUUUAUUUUAAAUUUAUUUUGAAUAUUUUGAUAUAAAAAUAAUAAAAUAUUCUUACCAAAACAACAAACCACGUCGGUGUUAAUAAAUUGUAGACGUUGUAAAUUGUAAUAGACUACUAAGUCGUUAAAAUGACGUCGUUAAAAUGAGAAACCAUGGCGGCUAUUUAACUAUACGACGUAAAAUAUAUAUUCCACGACUUAACCGCUGUCGUUACAUAAACGUCGUCGAUGAUACCCUGAACCCUUAAGAAAUUGAAGAUGUUGUAAACCAUAAACGACUCAAUUGUUCAAAGAACGUCGUCUAACUAUAUUUUUACGUCGUAUUUGUUUAAAACACGAAACAACAAAAUACGACGGUUUUUGACUUUAUUAGGUCGUUGGAAAAGUAUUACACGUCGGUUAAGCAAUUUGUAUGUUUGUUUUUUUUUUUAAUUUAAGAAAACCUCAACAAAUUUUUACAUUACAUAUUAUAGAGAAAAUUUGUACAUUAUACAUAAAUAUCAAGUGUUCAAUAAUUGCCCUGUUUAAUAAUUUGGAAAACAAACUCUGCCCAUUCAUUCCGGACUUCAUCAAUGGCUUCUUGGGGGUAUGAAGCUUCCUGGUUUCCCUUGGCAUACUGCAUAAACAAUGACUAUUAGGGUUUAUAAAUAAAAAGAAAUUCAAUCACAGACGACGAUAUUUUUCAUAACCGACGUAGUAUAUCCAUUCAACGACGUUAAUUUUACAUGACCGUCGUUGAUAAUACAAAAAACGACGUGAAAUGUAUGAAGGUAAUUUCUUCUUACCUUAUUCUCAAACCCCAAGAAAGGAUCCAUGAUGAUGUCCCUCAUGAAGCGCAUCACAUAGUACCCGCAUUCGACAUUGCUGGGUUGCUUUGGUGUGCCUGAGAGAGUUUUCCAAAUUACAUUUUUACGUCCUGCACGGGCUAUGUGGGUAUUAUAUAUUUUUAAAGCACUGUUCACGAUGUUUUUGGCCUCUUCAUCGACCACACGAUUUCCUGGCAGAGGAUCCAGAAAAUAGACGGUUUCUCUCUUUGCUCUUACAAUCAGCAAAAUCCAAUGACGGCUGCACAAAAUUAAUAUAAAAACGACGGUUAUUUACAAAAACGACGUAUUAUAAUAUUUCACACGACGAAAUAAAGUAGCAAUCGACGACAUUAUAGAUGUCUCACGACGAUAAAUAACUACCGACGUGGUUAGUAGUUUCAAACGACUAAAUAAAAUAAAACACCGACGUGGUUAGUUUAUAAGCUGUCAUUUAUUGAAAAUCAUAAAAACAAAAUCCUAAGGAGACUAACCCUGGAUUGUAAGGCAUCAUGAAAAUCUGUUCACCGUCUGUCUUCUGAAGUCGAGCUGCUACGAGUCGUGAUCUUUCAGUUAUUGUGCCAGAGUUGGCACUAACUGUAGCAGGGUCGAUAAAGCCAACCAUGCUGCACAUAUUGGCUUUUUUCAAAACAUCGUGUAAGUACCUAAACAAAUAAAAUAAUAUAAACAAGUCAGCACACAAAACACGACGGUUAUGUAUAAAAAAACGACGUAUUAUAAUAUUUCACACGACGUACUUAAAUAGAUGAGGACGUUAUAAUAUAUUUAUCACGACGGUAGUUAGUUAAGACGACGUGGUUAGUUAGUUCAGACGACGCAAUAUAUAAACCAACGAGAUAUUAUUUUAGAAGUACAAACCUCAUAUAUACAGCCAAUACAGUAGCUCCAAUUUCUUCCAUGCCUGCAAAUUGUGUAAUAUCUUCAGGCAGGAGGAAGGUAUCGCGCUCACCACCAAACACCUCCUUAUCAAUUGUAAAUUGGAGUGUCUUAUCCUCAGGCAGGAGUGUCGUUUCCACAAAACGACAAAGGGUUUUUAAAGAAGAUGGCGCCUCCAUAUUUGAAUAAGCACCAACUUCAAUAACCUGUUUAAAGAAAUUAAAAAAAUGACGUGGUAAUUCAAUAAAGACGACGGUUUAAGGAAUAACACGUCGUCUUAAAAGUAUUUAAACGACGGUGGAAAAACUGUCGUGGUAAUUCCAUCAAGACGACGGUUUUAUGAAUAAAGCGUCGUCUAAAACCAUUUAAACGACGGUGCAAAAACCGUCGUUUAAAUAUUUUAUUACGUCUUAAAAAAAUUCCGCCGUCUAAGUUGUAAACAAACGACGGAUGAAAUAAAAAUAUCGACGUCUGAAAUUUUGAAAAACAAAUAAAAGGCAAAGUUAUGUGAACAUACCUUGUCGUCAUGCUUUUCUUCAUCUUCUUUCUCCUUUUCUUCUUCCUUCUCUUCAUCUCUUUUUUCUUCUUCCUUCUCUUCAUCUGGCUGAUGUUUCCCCAUUUUGGCAGUAUCAUCCUCCAAAUGUAGGGAUCUCACAUCACCUCCAGAGCAGCUAGCUUUGUCAGACAUUGGAUUUUUGGGGCUUUGGCUAAUUCUUGGUUUAAGCAUGCUUGGAUCAAAAUUGGGAAUUAAUUGGGAAAGCUGACUCAGGAAAUGCUCCCUCUCAGCCUCUACCAAUUGUUUUGUCCUAGCCUCCAUUCUUAAGGCCUCUUCCCUUGCCUUAGCCUCCAUCUUUUUAGUCUCUUCUUGAAGGAGAACUCUUAAACUGUCCUUCAAACGGUCGUCAAAGCUCACCCUCUGUGGUUUGGGCAAAUUGAAAUGUUGCCUUGGGGAAACACCAGCACCAACUCCCCUCAAUCUGCCUGGAUGCUCGGGGCCCAAAGCCAUGGUCAGCACAUCAUUGCUGCCAUCUACUCUGACUUUGCCUUCCGAGACUUGUUUCUGCAAUUCAUCCUAAAACAAAGAUAAACAAAAAAACACACGACGGUUAUUUAUGUACAAACGACGUAUUAUAUAAUUUCACACGACGCAAUAACGUAUAAACCGACGUUAUGAUAACUUAUCACGACGGUAGUUAUACCGACGUGGUUAUUUAUUUAAAACGACGAAAUGAAUAAACAACCGACGUCUUAUGCUAUAAUUAAAGAAAACAGAGUAGUGAUUCCUAUUUAGACCGUUAACGACGUUUUUAACAAAGUUUCGACGUGGUAAUAUCAUUCACACGACGAACAAUAUAACACACGACGUAAUAAGAAUAAUUCACAGUUUAAUAAAAAUUUAAAACAGAGUGAUAGUAGGCUUACAAUUAAUUUAGCUUUCUCUGCCACCUUUGGAUCAGGGAUGUUACCAUGUUUGUCCUGUCUAGCUCUCUUCCAUAAGGUAGAUCGAUCAAUUUCUACCCCAGGCAUGGUUUCCUCCAAUUGAUCCUCCAAUCCAGCAUAUCCUUUUCGAGACAAUCGAUGAUUGUACUCGAGUUUCUCCCUAAUCUGUGCAUGUUGAGAAUGCACAGACUCAAAAUCUUUGGAUAGCCUUGAAGCUACAAAGGCAUCCCAUUGUGCUUUCUCUAUGAAUUUAUAUGUUUCAGGGGGUUGGCUUAAUUUCUCCCUGUCAUUGGUGUAUGGAAGGAUAUAAUGCCUCGUUAGUGUAGACUUGAAAUCCUUCCAUUUCUUGGAAGCAGAAGCUAAAACAGAGGUCUUGCCCCCUUGGCCUACGACAAAAGCCAUGUCAACUGCUUCCCAAAUCUGCUCCUUUAUAUCCUUGGGGAUUUGGGACCAUUUCUUGUCCACAAGUGGGAUCCUGGAGCGUGCCAACACACCAAUAUACGACUGCAUCUCAAUAUGUGCUUGGCCAACACCUUUCCCCCUUUUAUUGUACUCAACAAUUGGCCUCAGUUUCUGAAGCUUUCUCUUCACAACACGAGGCAUUGUGCUCAUACCUCGACCAGUCUUUGAAUCAUCAGAGAUUGUUGUCUGGCUGGUUGGUUCUGUCUCAGCAGAUGAUGAAGCAAACUUCAUCUUCUUCGAAGACUUCAUCUCCUUCGAAGACUUGUCUUGAGGAGCUACCAUUCCAAGCUUCUUGGAGCCAGAAUCCUUAGUUUGUUGUUGAGAAACCAUUUUAACAGACAAAACUGCAAGUGAAAAUAUUUCAGGAAAACAUUAAGAACACAAACGACGGUAUUAAAAAAUACGACGUAUGAUAUGAUUUUAGACGACGCAAUGAAAUAAUCUCAGACGUAAUAAAUGUUUAAAAGCAUUAUUUAUAUAACGUCGUGGUAUAUAUGUUCACACGACGUCAAUAGUAAUACACCGUCGUGGUAAACUAUUAUUUAUAUAACGUCGUGGUAUUUAUGUUCAUACGACGUCAAUAGUAAUACACCGUCGUGGUAUUAACAUUUACACGACAUAAAACAAUAAGAUAUUUUGUCGUCUAUAUUAGAUACCAACCCUAGUUUCUUUUUCUUUAUAUUUUAUCAAAUAAGGGAAAAACAAAAACCAUUGUUCAGAGAAAUCAAACCUGCAAUUAAACAAGCAUAUAAAAAAAGACUAUUAUUUUAAAAACAACUUUGUCAAUUUUCAGACGACGCUAGAACAACUUACGAACCGUCGUGGUCUACCGUCGUCUUAUUUAGUUGAGGUAGUUGUCUUCAAAGUUGGAAACUUUCCCUCUUUGUCUGUAUAUUUUAUCAAACUUGGAAAGAAGUAAAAUGAUUUUGGCCAGAAAAAAGGUAAAAAGAUUUUUCAAACAAAAAACGUAUGAGCAUGCAAAACAGUAACCAAAAUAGUGAAAAUGAAAGCUUACCUUUUGCGUGCAAUGAAAGCAAGAGGAAGAUGAUCGAUGUUUAAGUUCAAGGACGACGAAGAAGACGAGAGGAAGACGAUGAGAAACUCUGACAAUGCUCUGACAAGGAAAAGAGACGAAAAGGUUUCUCUGGAGAUUGAAAUUUUUAAUCGGGUUUGGAAACAGUGCAUGUGUAAGUCCAAAAGUUGCUUACAUAUAAAACCAUUUCAAAAAAAUAAUACGGUGGUUACAUUUAACUACGUCGUUUUUAACUAACACGACGCAAUAUUUUUCGUUCGACGUGGAAUCAUUUCAUUUAACGUCGUUAGGUUUAAUAUAACCGACGUGGAUUUUAAUUUUUAAAUUAUGAAUAGAAUUUUUUUUUUCCCGUGACCUUUCAGUUUAUUUUUCAAUUACAGUGCGUUAUAAAUAGAGUUUUUUUUCCGGAGGAAAUUUAAAACGAAGGAAAUUAAUAUUCUGCAAUAUGUAAAGUUUCUUUUUUGGAUGACAGAUUUAAAUAAAAUAAGAAUAUAAAAACAACUAAUGUGUAAGUCAAGUAGACGAAAAGUUGCUUACAUAUAAAACCAUUUCAAAAAAAUAAUACGGCGUGGAGUUCUGUAAUGUACGUCAGUAAUACCGACGUUGAUUUUACAAUUUAAACGGCGGUUUUUUGGUAAGGACCGCCGUUGGUUUUAAAAAUUUAUUCUAUAAAUUUGUCGCUUUCAUUCAUUUUCGCGGUUUACAUUUAGGGUUCCAAGUUCUUCCUCUCUCAGAGACACUGUCUCUCACAUCUCAAAGACAAUAAUUUGGAGGUCUUUCUCAAAGAGAAAUUGAGCUUACAUUUAGGCUAGUUGACAAGAAGAAGCUUGUCAACUAGCCUUCUCACUUCCUUGAUCAAGCCUGAUAGGACACUUAGUGCUUCUGAAUACUCCUUGCUUUCCAUCAAAAGAGAUGCAAGCCUGACCUCCACUCGCUGUCGAAGGAAAGUUCGCUUCUCAGGGAAAUCUGAAGAUCAGAUGUGCCUGAUCCUCUGCUUGAUUUUUUUGACUAAGAAGAUCCGUCAGAUUUGUGAUAGCCUCUUCCUUUACGUAGAGCUUCAGAAGAAGAAGAUGGGUUUCAAGAAUGCGAUAGAGAAUAGAAAUGGCUUCAGAUGGCCUCUAAAGCAUGAGCAAUCGAAUCAGUAGUUGCUGGGAGAUAUGAUGAAGACAUUGUCAAUGCUUUGAACUAUACAAGUCCUGCAGAAAGAUAAAGGACCAAACUGUUAAAGAAACUGAAACAAUGGCGGUUUUCUGUUCUACCGUCGUCUUUUCUCGUCGUCUAUAUAAAGGUAAGAUGGCGGUAUAUUUAUAAUUACCGACGUAGAUUAUUUUGUUAAACGUCGUUAAGUGUACUACAACCGACGUGGAUUUUAUUUUUAAAUUAUAAAUAGAGUGUUUUUUUCCCGAAUUCUUUCAGUUUUAGUUUUCAAUUACAAAGCGUGAUAAAUAGAUUUUUCUUUCCCGAGGAAAUUUCAAAUGAGGGAAAUUAAUGUUCUAGAAUUUGUAAACUAACACGACGCAAUAUUACUAACCCGAGGAAAUUAUAAAUAGAUUUUGCUUUCCCGAAGAAAUUUUAAAUUAAUUCAGUUUGAAACAACGACGGGUUUUUGUUAUGACGUCGUUUUUAACUAAAACGACGCAAUAUUUGUUUUGCGACGUGGAAUAUUUUCAUUUAACGUCGUUAGUUUUAAUAUAACCGACGUGGAUUUGAAAUUUUAAAUUAUGAAUAGAAUUUUUUUUCCCGUGACCUUUCAGUUUAUUUUUCAAUUACAGUGCGUUAUAAAUAGAGUUUUUUUUCCGGAGAAAAUUUAAAAUGAAGGAAAUUAAUGUUCUGGAAUAUGUAAAGUUUCUUUUUUGGAUGACAGAUUUAAAUAAAAUAAGAAUAUAAAAACAACGACUGUUUUUGUAUUACUGUCGUCGUUUUUCGUCGUCUUAAGUAAGACUAAGACGACGUAAUAUAUUUGUUUAGCGACGUUGAUUUGUUUUUUAAACGUCGUUAGGUAUAAUAUAACCGUCGUUGAAAAUUGUCUUUCUGAUUGCAAAUUUGCAACGACGUUAGGUAUAAUAUUUGUAGAUACACAAACGCACACACAUCAUCAACUUCCAAAAAAUUGUCUCUCUGAUUGCAAAUCUGUGUCAUCUGUUAAGAUUAUGAUGUGGAACAGAGUUCCAUCUGGUAAGAUUUCGUAACCCUUGGGAUCUCAGAAAAAUCUGCUUAUGUCGGCGGUUUUCUAUAUAAACCGUCGUGGUUAUUUCAAUUCUUGUCAUUAAGUAGAUCUACCGACGUAGGAUAAGAAAAUCAAAGAAAAAAAUUGUUAACAAAAAUUCUUAUUAAGACGACGUAUAAAAUGAAUAAAUACGACGUUGAAUUUUAUAGUACGAUUUAAAGAUAACGUCGUAGAACUAUACGAGAAUGACGUCGAUAUAUUUAUAUUUUUCGUCGUUGUACAUUAAUUUAAUACGGCGAUAUUUUGUAUUUUAAAGCCUUGGAUUUGUUUGUAAUUAUACGGCGUCUUAUACGAAAACCUCGUCGUGUUAUUUUAUGAGUAAAAACGGCGGCUUUUAUUGAAAUCGUCGUCUUUACUUUCUACGUCGGUCGAUUCAUAACUUCUGCCGUUCUUUGUUGGUUUUGAUUUUACACUGCCGAAAUCUGUUUCAAAUAGACGUCGGUUGUUUAAUUAGGUACGUCGUUGUUUUUGAACAGCCAUUUGAAUCUCCAUUUUUAGUUGUCUAAGGUGGUAUUACACGACGGUGUUUUUAGAACCGUCGUCUUUUUAAAAACCACGACGGUUUUCACCUAGACCGUCGUUGUUUUCUGGUCGUCUUUUUCACUUUUUGUAGUAGUGGACUGUGACGGUACAACCUUCAAAGUCAAAAGCCAUCGCUUAAAACCACAUGGGGCAGCCGCAUUUCUUAAGGAUGAGACCAACAUCCUUCUCAAUGACCCCAAGUAAACGCAUCCAAAAGUCGGGCUAUUGACUAUAAAUUAAGCGCUUGUUGGGAGGCAACCCAACUAGGUACCUUCAUUCCUUAUCUUUUUAAUUUUUGUUUGUGUGUUUCCCGCGUUCAUUUAUUUUACUAUUCUUUGUCCUUGCAUUUAUUUACUUUUUAAACAUUGAGGACAAUGUUUCAUUUAGGUUUGAGGUAGGUAACAUUCGUUUUAUUUUUAAUUUUUUUGUUUUUAGUCUUUUUCGAGUCAUGCAAAACAUUGGUGUUUAUGUUUCGAUAAUACUGUUUUAAUCUGUGAUGGAUUGAAGAUUUGGCCCAAGUUUCCUUCUUUAAUUUUUUGUGCUGAGUCCAGCCAUAUAAGGCUCGUAUUUCUCUGACUUUUAAUUUGGAAGUUACAGCUGUUUUUCUAAACAGGGAUCUGGAACUCGAAUUUUUCUGCGAUUCUGUACGGUGUUCUGUAUUUAACGUCAGUUUUCAUGCUGUUCUAUUCUGUUUUCUGUAUUUGGUCUAAAUAAAAGUUGUGCCUUUCUUGUCUAUUUUCUGAGAAUAUAAGGCUUCUCAAAAUCCAUGCAGUACUUUAAGAGAUAAUUGUUGAAAACUGAUCUGAGGUCGAAAUUGAAAAGAAGCAGUUUUUCCGAAAUGUAAAUUCUAGUUAAAUUAUUGCAAGCGCACAAUUCGUACAAGUAAUAUAGAAAUAAGUAGAGUGACGUUCCCACGAAGACUGUAAUUUCCUAUUAACUACCAAUUAUGAUUAAUUUAGAAUUUAUUUGAACAGUUGAUUAAGAAGAUUGAUUGAUUUAAGUAAGCUAAAACAAUUAUAAAAAAUAGCAAUUUAAUUAAUGUUGGAAAAUCAAGAUGAUGAGACACUAGAGCAUCCGAUUUCACCAUAACCAAUUCCACUUAAUUCUUAUAGCCAAUUAACCCUAAUUACUACCCAUGUUGACAGUUGGUUUCUCCUAAUUCAUUCGAUAUUCCAACUCGGGCUCAACCAAAAGUAUUCUUAAUUAACAACACAUUCUCUCUCGAGCAAUGGAUUUAGAAAAUCAAGAACCCAUUAAGUUCUAUGAGAACCUGCAAGAAAACUGCAUGAGUCAUGUUAGUCCCUCUCGGGCACUCAUUCAAGACAUGGUAUCUGUUAUAAGAAGCAAACACCAAACAUCUCCUCUCGGUCUCCUCCUGGAUCAUCAAAUCAAUUAGAUAUUGGCCAGAUAUUCAAAGCAUUAAGAACAAUAACAAAUACUCAACAUGAAAUAGUAAUCAAAAAUUAAUAGAACUACAAAAAUUAAGUAUUCAUGGUUAGACUACAUCGUAGCCCUAGCAAGGAAAAUUAGUUCAUGACAAAAGAAAAGAUAAACAAGAGAAUUGUUGUCAUAAAACCGAUUUGGCAGAUGGACUUGAUCUCUGGAUUCUCCACAGCAACACAGCGACAACAAAUUCUUGGCUCUCUCUCUGAUAUAUUUGUGGGUGUAUGAAAGUUGUAUAUGGGAAGAUGAUAGAAAAUAUGAUCCUCUGAACAGAUCCUUAGGGUGACCUUAUAUAGUGUAAAAUAACUAAACCCUACUCUAAAAAAGUCUAGAAAAACUCUCCUAAAGCCAAACAAAAUCUCAAACAAUUAAGGAAACAAACUAGGAAAGAAUCCUUCUUUGACUAGGAAACACGUCAUCCAACUUGCAUGCAUGUUUUUGGGGUCGUUCCACUUCCUAUAAAAUUCUGGAAAAAUAUGAGAAACGUAGCUUUAUCUCUAAGCUUUCCAAGCAUAUAUUACACGCCACUAGGAAAAAUCGCAAAGCUAUUCAAAUCUUCAAUCUUCCACAGCAAUGCAGUUCUAAUGGGAUUUCAACUUAGGCUGUCUUGACUUGCAGGUCUGGAGCAUUUGACUUGGUAGAAAAUUAUGAAACUUUGACACAAUGAUCUUAAAUAUCUUAGCUUUCUUCUACAAUUGGCCUUGCACUAAAAUUCAUUCGAAAAGUCGACUUUCAGUUGAAAUCCGUCCAAGAGUGCAGAAUAGCUGAAAAUAAGAAAAGUAAAGUAAUAAUACUCAUUUUAAUUAACUUUCCCUACAAAACCUAUAUAUAAAAGGUAUAAAAAUAUAGGAAAUAAUACUCUUUCUUGUUCUUUUUCACAUCCCCAAAUAACAGAGGAUUUUUCAGGUAGAGAUAUCAUUAAGAGAAUUUUUUUUUAUACAAGCGAUAUUUGACUUUAAUCUAAUCUAAACUACAGGAAAGGUGAUUUGAACUCACGUGCAGAGUGGGGAGUACAUCCGCUUUAGCCAACUUGGCUAGACCCAUGUCUUCGUCAUUAAGAGACUUUUGAAUGCAUCUGCUUGCAGAGCCACAGGUUCUAACCAAAAACAUGCGGGAGUUGUGUGCACAACACACAGACUCCACAAACUUAAACGACAAAGUUAUCACCUUCAUACCAAACUGAGAUUUAAUUUUGGAAACUGAAAAGAAUGAUCUUAUAAACAAUAAUUGCAAGCGGAAACGAUAUCAGAAGGCUGAUUUAAUACCUUAAGAGUCCUUGACUUGAUGUUAAUGGAAUUUGUGGCACAGAAGAAAACUAAUGUGCACAAGUACUUACCAAUAGAAAGGACCACAAUCCACAACCAAUAAUGGCCUUGGUUUUUCAGAAACCAGUAAAAAUAAAUAGGCCACAAACUUCAUACUGUGAUUAAUCAAACACAUAGUUGCACUACGUUUUCUUAACAGAAUUUGUCCUUCCCAACAAAAACAUAACUUACACAAAAAUUUACAUACAUAUAGCCUUCUUUCUUAUCAGUAUGGCCAAAUUAAAGCGAUGCAAAACUACAAAUAAGUCCACUAAAAACGAUUGAUAAACAGAAAAUAUGCAACUUAGUACCGAAAAUGAUUUAAACCUGCGAUACAAAUGACUCCUUCAAGCAUGCUCUGGAAAAUGGGGAAGGGCAUGGUGGAACUUGUACUUCCACCACUCCUUCAAGCAUCUGAACAACCUUCCUCAUAUUGGGUCUAAGAGAAGGGUCUUCUUGAAUACACCAAAUAGCAACCAUCACAAAAUUUUCCAGUGUCGUUUUAUCACCCAGGGCCUGAACUUCAUAAUCUACAAUAGCAUCUAAUGCUCCUCCAAGGAAGCAAUCAUAGACCCAAUCCGUUAAUAUUGCUUUCUCUUCGCAGUUAUUUUCCACAUCAACGCUUCUCCUACAACAAAUGAUCUCAAGCAGCACAACACCAAAGCUGUACACAUCAACUUUGGUAGUGAUUGGCAUGUUCCUAAACCACUCAGGUGCAACAUACCCUUUUGUUCCUCUAAUGGCAGUAUGAGUCUUGCUCUGAUCCAUCUUCAAAAGCUUUGCCAAUCCAAAGUCAGAGAUUCGAGCAGUGUAAUAAUCGUCAAGCAGUAUGUUCUGAGGCUUUAUAUCACAAUGGAUAAUUUGAGUACUGCACUCUUCAUGCAAGUACAGAAGUCCUCUGGCAACUCCAUAAGCAAUUUCAAUUCGUUGUCUCCAACUCGGUUUGAUAUCAGUAAAAAGGUAGCUUGCUAAUGUGCCAUUGCUCAACAAUUCAUACACUAGCAACCGCUGUUGCCCCUCAUCACAAUAUCCGAAAAGGCGAACCAGAUUCUUGUGAUGUGUCUGACCAAUUACAUUCAGUUCUGUUUUGAAUUCCUUCUCAAUUUCUUGCAUCACAUAGUUUAGCUUCUUCACUGCCACUUGGACACCAGAACCAAUUUGUAGUACCCCUUUGUAAACAGUUCCAAAAGCACCUUUGCCUAAUUCUUCCUUGAAAUCAUUUGUAGCUUCUCGAAGCUGUUCAUAACUAAAAGAACGCAAAUUCGAGUCCAAAACAAUUUCGGCAGACCUUACAUGUUUCUUCCUGAAAAUCAAGACAAAUCCCAGACAAAGACAAGCACCUAAGAUAAAAUUAACAAAGAUAGAGGUACCCAAAAGCACUGAUUCUGCACGUAUCACAGUGGUCUGGCUCUUCUUCUUCUUAUCAUCUGGACAUGGAUGUUGAGGAGCUGGUAUUGGUAGAGUUGAAUUGUCCUUUCUGACUUUGAUGAAGGCUUGUGAAUUAAGACCUGUAUCCACUCUCCCAUUUGAGAGAGGUAACUUCUUUUUCCAGCAGGUUUCAGACCGAAAAAUAGCAACAGCACACAAACAGUCUUGAAAGCAAGAUUCAUUGCACUUCUCUGCAGUAAAAGGUUUUAACUGCACAUAAUCUGAGGUUGGCCAAUCUGUAUUUGUUAGCGCCUCAACAUCAUAUAAAUCGUUUGUGCGACUAAGCUCAUCUUCUUCACAGCCUUGUAUGAAAUCCGGUUUGCAUCCCCGAUAUGGAUCAUUUGGAUCAAGUAAAGAGAACCCUUUUGGGCAUCCACAGGUUGGCCUCUUAUCUUUGAGAGUGCAGAUACUGUUGUACCCACAAACACCAACACCUGAAUCUUCUCUAUUUCUUUGGCAAAUAUCAUCUGGCUCUGACCACCGAAGAGUCCAGCUCACAUUUCCAGUGAAAUUCUUGGGGUGAUAAUAUUGAGCAAAAAUCCCAUCAAAGUUGAGAGUUGCUCUAAUAUAGUUGUCCCUUGCUGAGACUGCCUCUCCCACUUCAAGAUUGUACUUUCCACCAUUCUCUCUCACAACAUACAAGUAGCCUGAGACAUUGAAAACCAAUUCUUUACCUUCACUACCUGCCACAGUCCCUGAG
Molecule: long non-coding RNA, 81339 nt
Filed under: Prunus persica (peach)
Lineage: Eukaryota; Viridiplantae; Streptophyta; Magnoliopsida; Rosales; Rosaceae
Description: long non-coding RNA (PPER_LNC005580)
Source: RNAcentral